CGGAGGUCGGCAUCGGAGAGUGUGGCGGCGGGGGUGAAGCAGCAGGGGGCGGAGGAAGGGAGAGGUGGUGGCGGCGGCGGUAGUGUAGAGAGAGAGAGUGACGUGAAGGUGAAGAGAGAGAGGAGAGAGAGAGAGAGAGAAAUGAUGGUUAUUUUUUAUAUUUUAAAGAGAGGGGUAUUUUUGACUUUUUACUAAAAAAUUGGCCAAUUUUUAAUGUUUUUAUUUCAUAGGCCAAAUUUUAAUUUUACUAUAUGAAAGUGGCCAUAUCUAUAUAUUAACUCUAAAUAUUGUGUGGGAUGAGUUUUUUUGUAAAUAUUGUGUGUGAAUGAGAGUAAAAGUAUAAAGAUAGUAUGUCAUAAAAUGGAAAGACACACUUAUUUUGGACGAACGAAAAUAACUGCUGAAUUGAAAUUUUAUUUAGAAAAGAAAAAAUCUAAAAGAACCCUUGAAAGCAUAUGAAAGCAGACUAAGGCCCGAGCCUCGUUAAAAUCUUUGCUCGUUAAAACCUCAAAGAGAGGAAAAAAAGUACUCGUCUAACAGAACGGGAAAAAAACCCAAAAAAAGAAGAAAAAAAAGGCCAACACAAAAUGAGCUUCGGACUAACCAUCACCCACCUCAUAUUCAUCCAACAAACUUGCAGCAAAAUCCCGCGAAACAUGGAACUCCGGACUAACCACUGCCCCAUGCUAAGCCGAUAAAUGCCGCAAGAGAACACCGCCACGAAACAGAACAAAAGGGAAAACACAUCACACAAAAAGCGUGAAAAAAUAACAAAAAUAUUAUAUUUAUCGUGUACGGAGGAGUACAAUUUAUUUUUUAGAUACAAAAUACGUAUAUGAUAGAUUGAGACAGUGUUAAAUUAUAGCUCAAACAUGCCUUACGUGAUUUUAUAAUUCCUACAAUUUAUUUUGAGAAUAUGCACUCAUAUAGUCAUAUUGAAGAUUGUAAUUCAAUAUUUGACAUUUCAUCUUAGAAACACAAAUUUUAGCCAUUUUUUGAAACUUCGAACUGUAUUGCCCUUAAUUUAGGCGGAUGGGAUCGGGUUGAACGCGUAGGUUGGGCACGGGUUUGGGGGCAUUAAUGUUAUAAUUUAUGCUAAAAGUACUGUUGUGCCCUAAAAAAUCACCUAUAAAAGAAAGCAAUAAGAACACAGAGAUUUACAUGGUUCGAUCAUAAAGAUCUACGUCCAUGGAGUUUUGGGGUGUUUUUCACUAUGUUUUGGGGAGAGAUUACAAUGUACAAUGAUGAAUCGGUUGGGACCGAUUGGGAUGCCUAAAUAAUGAAAAUACAUGCCUCUAUUUAUAGGCAAAAUACUAAGAAACCUACUUAGAAAAGGACUCUAUCUAGACUUAUAAUAGGACUCUAAUUCCUCAUAUUUAUCUUCUUCUUCUUCUUCUUCGUGUUGAUCUUCUCUUUAUUUGAGAGCUUUCGAGAUAAGGCCGAAUUCCAAGAAUAAGGGCUGCAUAUUUUUGUCCUCAUCAAGUACCAAAUUACUUAGAAUAAAAAAAAUAUACUAAGUAAUUUUCUACUUUUGGCACUAAUAUUUUCAUUUGUUUUAAGUAAUUUGGUACUUUUGGCACAAAUUAUAAUAUUAUAACGUAUUAAAUUACUUAGUAUUUUUUUUUUUUUGCUUUCUGGUAGUAUUUUGGCACAAAUUAUAACAUUAGUGUCAAAAGUAUCACCCAAAACCCGCGCGCCCAACCUGAUCCAAUUUGUCCAAAUUAAGGACAAUACAAUCCGAAAUUAUAAAAAUGAUCAAAUUUUAUGUUUUUAAGAUGAGUGAUCAAUUAUUGAAUUCCAUUGCUUAUAUGACUAUCUCAAAAGUUGGCUCAUUUAUUUUUAUAGAUACAAAAUGCAUAUGGUAGACUGAGACAUUGUUAAAUAAUGGCUCAAACAUGUACUACGAGAUUUUAUAAUUCAUUUUUUUUUAAAGUUGAAUACUUCCAAGAACAAAUUUACAUAUCAACACUAGAUAAUAUUAGAUGAUGUCGAACAGAUACCGAACUAACUCAAUCGGAAUCCACAUACAAAUGAGAUCUAUAAUACCUAAUCAACUAAAAACAACGAAUUAUGUGGUUCAACUCAAUUGAGCCUACGUCCACGGCAGAGUCACCACAAUUCACUAAUAUGGGAAAAGAUUUACAGUGUUCUUCACUAAAGAAGAUGACCAAGAAACUAAUCUAAACUCAGAUCUCUCAAGUUUCUUUUCUCUCUUCAGUUACAACUUACAAGUGAAAACCCUCAUCUAUCAAGAAUGAAAAUAGCAGCAGUAAUACAAUGAGAAAUACAAGAGAAAUAUAUACAAGAAAACACGCGAACCCUGCUGCAGAAGAAAAUUAGUUAUAACAACAUUCUUAUUAUUUGCAAGAAACCCCUCCAACUAUAACAUAUUUCCAAAGUAAUCCCUAACUUCUCUUGAACUGUCAUCACUGCUUAUCAACAAUCUCCACCUUGAUGAUAAUUCCACCAAACAAACCAGUGAAUACACAGUAUUUCCUCUGCAAUUUACCCCACUACAGGGCUUCAACACUGAUCUAAGCUUGAGACAACACAUUGACUAACUCCAGACAGUAUUUAAACUUGGAGCUAGGUAAUGCCUUAGUAGGCAUAUCAGCUGCAUUCUCAGCUCUGGACACCUUAACAAUCUUGAUUUCUCCUUUGUUAACAACGUCCCUGAUGAAAUGAUGUCUAACAUCCAUGUACUUCGACCUUUCAUGAAACACUUGGUGUUUCACUAGAUGAAUCACACCCUGAUUAUCACAAUUUGCUUCCACAACUUUCUGAUCUACUCCUAAUUCAACCAACAUCCCUUUCAGCCACAUAGCUUCCUUCACAGCUUCUGUAGCGGCCAUAUAUUCAGCCUCUGUGGUUGACAAAGCCACCACAGGUUGCAUAAGAGAUCUCCAGCUAAUAGCCGAUCCAUACAAAGUGAAAAUGUAGCCGGUUUGGGACUUCCUUGUGUCCAAGUUCGCUGCGAAAUCAGAAUCAACAUAACCUUUCAAUGGCUUUUCUUCAUAAUCAUCUAACCUUUUAAACAAUAUACCAAGACUCGAAGCUCCUUGAAGAUAUCUGAAAAUCCACUUCAAUGCCUCCCAGUGGUUUUUCCCUGGAUCAACCAUGUACCUACGUAUGACACUCAUUUCAUGAGAUAGAUCCGGUCUUGUACACACCAUAGUGUACAUACUACUCCCUACUACAUUAGCAUAAGGUAUUUUGAGCAUCUCUCUCAUUUCUUGUUCAGUUUUAGGCCUCUGUGACUCACUGAGCUUCAAAUGUUGACCACCAUUUUUGUUUUAUCCAUUCUGAACUUCUUCAAAAUCUUUGUAAUGUAAUCUCUUUGAAACAGCCAUAGCUCUCCUUUUUCAAUGUCUCUUAUUAUAUCCAUGCCAAGUAUCCUUCUGGCAUUCCCCAAUAUUUUCAUCUCAAACCUUGCUUUCAACUCCUCUUUCAGUGUGUUGAUUUCUUCCUUACUAUUGCUGGCUAUCAACAUAUCGUCAACAUAUAUACACCAACAAAUAUGAUACAACAUGACCUUAAUGUACUUUAACAUAUACACAAUUAUCAUGUAGUGAUUUUGUGUAUCCAAUCUUUAAGAUCUCCUCAUCAAACCUCUUGUACCACUGCCUAGAGCUCUGCUUUAAGCCAUGCAAUGACUUUUUAAGUAAACACACUUUAUCUGCAUUUUCUGAAGAUACAAAUCCCUCGGGCUGUGACAUGAAAAUAGUUUCUUCUAAGUUUCCAUGAAGGAAAGUUGUCUUAACAUCCAGCUAUUCCAAAAUCAUAUCUCUUUGAGUCACUAGUGAUAAUAACAUUCAAAUUGAAAAGGUUUUACAAAAGGGGAUAAAAUCCCAUUAUAAUCUACCCCUUCUCUUUGUGUAAAGCCUUUUGCAACUAGUCUUGCCUUAAACCUGACCUGCUCUUGAUUCCCAACAAUUUCAAUUUUCCUUUUGAAUAUCCAUUUACAACUUACUAGCUUAUGAUUCUUGCGCUUAUCCACAAGAAUCCAUGUCUUGUUUCUUUCUAGUAACUCAAGCUCUUCAUUCAUAGCUAAUAUCCAGUGUUCCUUAUAUGCACACUUCAUAGCUUCUGAAUAAUUUCUGGGCUUAUGAUAUUCAUUAUUUUCUGCUACUGCAAGAGCAUAUGCAGUGAGGUCAGCUUGACUAUACCUUGCUGGUGGAUGGAUUUCUCUCCUUAUUCUAUCAUUUGUCAACAUAUAGUUCCUCUGACCACCUUCUCCAUUUGACUCAUUUGUUUCUAAUGUAUCUGAUUCAGUGAAAUCAUUUUCUGAAUUUUCUGGAGUAACUGGUUGAAGUGUUGUGCAAUGCUCCACCUCAACUUAUGUACUGGUUGCAUUCCCAUUACUCUUAUCAGCUGCUGGACUUGUAUCAGCUUUGAAGAAAAGCAUUAUGUCUUUCCUUGAAUACAACAUCUCUACUAAUUAGGAUCUUGUUUUCACCAUUUUCAUAGCACCAUAGUCUGUAUCCCUUUGUUCCAUCUUCAUAACCAAACAUGAUGCAUCUAAUUGCCCUAGCAUCCAACUAAUCCUGCUUUAAGUGAACAUAUGCAGAACAUCCAAAGGGUUUAAGCCUUAAAUAGUUUGGAUCCCUUUCAUUCCACAACUGUUCUGGUAUCUUGAAGUUUACUGCUGAGCUUGGGCAUUUGUUGAUCAACUUAAUUUGCUUUUGUGGUGACAGCCUCUCCCCAAAAUUUCUUGUCUAAACCUGAGCUUAAGAGCAUGCACCUUACUCUCUCUAGUAAGGUUCUAUUAAUUCGUUCUAUUACACUGUUUUGUUGAGGUGUUCCUGGCACUGUCUUGUGCCUUUGAAUUCUUUUAUCCUUGCAGAAAUUACAGAAUUCUUUUUAUAGAAAUUCAUGUCUAUUGUCUGUCCUUAAACACUUUAAAGUACUGCUCUUCUUUACCUCAACCAUCUUACACCAGACUUUAGACUUUGUGAAAACAUCAUUCUUGUUUUUAAGAAUGUAGACCCAGAUUCUCCUCGAGUAAUCAUCCAUGAUGGAUAGAAAAUAUCUCCAUCCACCAAGACUUUCAGUCCUAGCAGGUCCCCAAAGAUCUGCAUGUGCAUAGUCCAAAGGAGAUUUUGACAAAUGCUUCUCCUCAUUAAAAAUAUUUUCUCUUGCUCUUGCCCAAUAUACACUGCUCAUAACUAUUUUUCUUUAGCUUUCCAGUGUACUCAAUCCUUUGCUGCUUCACAAGCUCAUUUAGACCUCUUUCUCCUACAUGGCCCAGUCUAGUAUGCCAUGUCAUGCAAUUUUCUUUGAUGAUGCUUCCACAUUCUCCUAUCAGGGUUUCAGCUAUUAGAUAGUACACAUUUACCUUUCUGAUACCUUUUAUCAAGACUUGAGAAUUCUUCAUCACAUAUAUGACUCCAUCCUUUGAUUGCCAACUGAAACCUUUUAGCUCCAAUGUUCCUAAGGAUAUCAAGUUUCUCUUAAGCUUUGGGUGAAUCUCACGUUAGAUAGGAUUUUUGUUGAGCCAUCAUGCAUCCACAAUCUGAUAUUUCCUAUACCCUUUAUAGGACACACUUGAUUAUUCCCUAGCAGAACAGAUCCCUCCCCUAGUAUUCUAAAAUUUGAGAACUAAUCUUUGUUUUGGACACAUAUGAAAACUACACCCCGAGUCUAAAAUCCAUUGAGGUUCAACUUGAUGAUUAACCACAUUUAACACCUCAGCAGUCUCAAAUUCUUCCUUUGAACUGGUGUUAUUUGUACUCGGUGCAUUUUCACUUUGCUUUCUUUUCCAUGAAUAACAAUCCUUCUUUAGAUGACCAAGUUUCUUACAGUAAUGGCACUUGCGAGUCUCUUUUCCAUCAAGAUCCUUCUCUUUGUUUGAACUGCUCUUUUUCCCUUCCUGUGAAGGUUUCUUGCUUUAUUCUUUUUGAACUUCUUGAUGUUGAGAGCCUCGUUUGCUACUUCUUGUUUGCCUUCAUUUACCUUCUGCAGUUCUUUAGCCUUGAGGGCAUUCUGCACUUCUUCCAUAGUGAUGCUAUUCUUUCUACCAAAUAGCAUUGCAUCUUUAAGAUGCGCAUAGCUCUUAGGUAAAACAUUUAACAACAAGAUAGCUUUAUCUUCAUCACCAAUCUUAACGUCUAUGUUUUCUAAAAAUCAUCUAUGAAUUUGUUAAACUCAUCUAACUGAUCCUCUAUGGCUCUAUCCUCAAUAAACCUAUAUGAAUAUAAGCGUUGUUUCAUAUAGAGGCGAUUAGCUAAGGAUUUUACCAUAUAUAGAGAAUCCAGUUUCUUCCAAACACUCGCUGCGGUCUCUUCUCUAGCAACCUCCUGCAUCACUUUAUCGGGAAGACAGAGGAUAAUAGCGCUGUGUGCCUUCUGCAUUUUCUCGUCUCGUUCCACCUUCUUGAUAUCCUCAAGAAAACCUCAUUCUCCAUUCAAUGCGCCUGCCAAUCCUUAUUGUACAAGCAUGGCAUGCAUCUUGAUCUUCCGAAGACUAUAGUCGUUAUUUCCAUUGAACUUUUCAGUAUCAAACUUCAUAGAACUCAUCAUGGUUUCCAUUCCCACCGGACAACGCCAAUAUAUUGAACAUAUACUGAACUAACUCAACCGGAAUCCACACAUAAAUGAGAUCUAUAAUACCUAAUCAACUAAGAACAACGAAUUACGUGGUUCAGCUCAAUUGAACCUACGUCCACGGCAGAGUCACCACAACUCACUAAUAUGAGAAAAGAUUUACAGUGUUCUUCACUCAAGAAGAUGAUCAAGAAACUAAUCUAAACUCAGAUCUCUCAAGUUUCUUUUCUCUCUUCAGUUACAAGUGAAAACCCUCAUCUAUCAAGAAUGAAAAUAACAGCAGCAAUACAAUGAGAAAUAUAAGAGAAAUAUAUACAAGAAAAACACGUGAACCCUACUGCAAAAGAAAAUUAGUUAUAACAACAUUCUUAUUAUUUGCAAGAAGCCCCUCCAGCUAUAGCAUAUUUCCAAAGUAAUCCCCAACUUCUCUUGAACUGUCAUCACUGCUUAUCAACAGAUGAGAUACUUACAAUAAGUAGAUGAGGUGACACUAUUAAGUUAUUACUAGUAUUCCACCCGUGUAUACGCACGGGAUAAAAUAUUGUAAUUUUUUUAUAAUGUUAAUUCAUUAUAUAAUAAUUAACAUUGUACUGUGUUAAAAUAAUAAAUAAAAAUUAUUGUGUUAUAUUGGAUAAAAACACAUAACUUUAAAUUAAGGGUAAAUGUCACUUUAUGUCCCAUCGUUUGGCCGAAUUAUCGAUUAUGUCCCAACUUUUUGAUAAUAUCUAAUUGGUACCUAACCUAUCAAUAUUUUUUUAAUUGUGUCCUGUAAAAAAAAUUCAGGCGGCCGGUAGAUGAUGUUGAAUGCCGGAAAUUUAUCAGGUGGAAUUUUAAAUACACUUGGAAUUUGCAACAUUAUUAUAAUUAACAAAAAAAAACAAAUAUCUAUGUGGCAACAACAUAUACAAAAUCCUAAAACUAAAACAGAAAUCGAUUAUAAAGUGGCGGUGGAGCUGUAUUUGCAAAAUAAACAGAAAUUGAAAAUCAAAACUGAAGAAGGAGAAAAAGAAGAAGAAGGGCCCGUUCAUGGUGAAAUCUUUUCAAAAUUUAAAUAGCAUAAUCAACUAGAUAUUCACAAGUCAAACCAUACAAUAUGGCUAAGCUCUUAUCUACAAGAAUCAAGAAACAAAAAUCAAGAUUUAGGGCGCCGUUAACAACCUACCAGAGAGGAAUGAAUCGCCGUCGCGCAAGGUGGAAAGAUGGGCGAAUCGAUUUCUUCGAAUUUCUUUGGGGAAAGCUUCGUCUGGGAAAGCUAAAGUCAUGCCCUCCUUCGAAUUCUCUCCCAAGUUCUUCAACCUUUGUUCUUUUGAAUGGAAGGAGUGAAAGAGUGCCUAAGCUUCGAAUUUCCUACUUGGAUUUGGGAUUUUUGUUCAAACCCUGAUGUGGCGUGGCUUUAGGUGCCACAUAGAUAUUUGUUAGUAUUAUUUUUUUAAGUAUAAUAAUGCUGCAAAUUCCAAGUGUAUUUAAAAUUCCACCUAAUAAAUUUCCGGCGUUCCACAUCAUCUUCCGGUCGCUUGAAAUUUUUAACGGGACACAAUUAAAAAAAUAUUGAUAGGUUGGGUACCAAUUAGAUAUUAUCAAAAAGUUGGGACAUAAUCGAUAGUUCAGCCAAACGAUGGGACAUAAUGUGACAUUUACCCUUAAAUUAAUUAAAGGAAUUAAUUUUUCUAAUUGUACUAUUUGAAAUAGGGGUGCUACAAUAAUAAUAAUAAUAAUAAUAAUAAUAAUAAUAAUAAUAAUAAUAAUAAUAAUAAAACCGACAAUUGUAAAAUUGAAUAAAGCAUAAUAAUACAAAUUAGUAAAUCUAUAAGUUUUGAAAAACUUCUUUGUAGACAACAAUCAUUCUACUUGAUAUGCUAUUAUUAUCUUUAUCACAUGCUAAAAUCUUCAAGUCAUGCACGACUUCUUACUCUUUUAAAACAACAACGUAAAAUUGACCAUAAGAAAGAAUAUUAAAGCACAUACCUCCACUGCUCCACAUUCAAACAUUUUUGGAUAUGAUGUAAUGCAAUAAAUUUUGGAUAUAUGGAAUAUUAUAUAUUAUAUAGAUUGAUAGUGGAAAAAAAUAUUAUAAUUAGUAUUGAAAACGGUGAAAAUAUAUUUUUUUUUUCAUCAUUUUCACAUGUUUAUUAUGAUAUAAACUUUCUUCGUGAGGGUGGGAUAUUUUCUCCGAUUAAGGUGGAAUAUUUUCUGUUUUUUCAUCAUUUCAUUUUUAGAAAUUAAUUUUAGUAAAUAAUAUUAAAUACUCAAUCAUUAACUAUAUUAUCAAUUGCCUCUAAAAAAUUAUAUUAUUGAUUGAUUGUUUAUCUUUGAUUGCAUUUUUAAUGGUAUUAUUAAUAUCUCCAUAAAUUAAGUUAAUUAGGUAGCAUGAUUAGUUCAAUUGACAAAUUUUUAAAAAUAAUACCUUUAACUUUCCCAAUUUUCACUAUUCCUUUACUGAAAAUUAUAUAUAUGUAUAUGCUACAAUUUAAUUGUUGGUAUUUUUACAUCCAGUAGUAGUUAAUAACAUAAGUAGAGAUGUCAAAAAAGCCCGAAACCGACGGGUCGACCCGAAUAGACUGAUAAAAAAGGUGGGUUAGGGCUAGAAAUUUUUAGCCCGAAAAAAAUUUAGCCCGAAUGGCCCGAACCGAAAAUAGCCCGAGCCCGAUAGGGUUGGCCCGAAAACCGAGUGGGUUGGCCCGAUUAAUCGAACACUUUCUUAAUAAUUGAUUUCUAAACUCUAAUACUUUACUUUUUAAUUUGAUAAUAACAUUUUGAUGCUUGUAUAAUAUGUUUUGAUUUUUUCUAACGAUUAAUAAUAAAUAUUUAUGAUAUAAAAGUCAAGGAAAGAUAGUAAUUAAUGUUAUAUCUAUAUACAAUUUUUAUCAGAAACAAAGUUAAAUUAGAUAUUAUGUAAAUUUACAUUAAAAUAACACUAAUUUUUGUAUCUAAAAUAAGGCGAAAUAUUUUGAUUUAAAAAGCACGACAUACUUUUAUUACAAUAAUAUGAUUAUCCAUAUAAAAAAAUUAUACAUAUAAAAAAAUCAUAAAUUUAGGGGCCCGAACGGGCUAGCCCGAGACCGAGUGGGUUAGGGUUAGGGUCGAAAAAUUUUAGUCUGAAAAAUAAAAAAACCGACUACCCGAACCAAAUAACCCGAACCGAAUGGGUUGGCCCGAACCGUGGGUUGGCCCGAUUGACAUCCCUAUGAUGCGAUUUUCAUAUAGAGAGCGUUUACUUUGGUUGUAAGAUAUUUUUUCUUAAUUUUUUUUUUAUCAUAGGUUUACUAGAGGUGAAAAUAUUGAAAAUUGUUGAAACAUAUUUUUACAAUAGUAUAUAAAUAUAAUAUUAUCCAAUAUUAGAGAGAAAAUGAGUGAAAAAAGCUGCUCGAGAAAAUAUUCCACCUUCAUCGGAGAAAAUAUCCCACACUCCACGGAGAAAGUUUCUAUUAUAGUAAACGUGUGAAAAUGAUGAAAAAAUAAACGUGCAUCAGAGUUUAUAAUUCUCAUACACACGAUAGUUUUUGCUAGACGAACUAAAGCGUUGGGCUGCUCAUUUACGAACACAAUCAUACACUGAAAUAAACAUAAAUUGAAAGCUAAUUAUGCUCAGAACAUUAGCAGGAAUGCAGCUUAAAGACAGAACAAACACAACUAAACAAAUGAUGCGAAUAAGCAAAAUAGGAAUAGACAGAUAUAAUAGUCGAGAAAAAGGCAAAACAAAUGCCGACUCCCUUUCUAACAAGCUGGCUUAUCGAUUAUAAUAACCUCUGCAGUUGGGGAGGAUCUGGGCAUGCUUCGCACCUUCUCUUCUAUCGUUAUGAAACGCUCGCGAUUAUCAGAAGCUCCAAACGGUGAAAGACGAAACACAAGUUUGUCGAGCGAGGGAGCAUUUUGCAAGAUAAAUUCAAUAAAUGGAAGUAUAAAGGGGUCUUCCUCAGGCCAAAUAAUCUGCACUGUAUUUAGAUGGAACACUGAGGGAUAGGGGAAUGUCGUCUCAACGAUGGGAUAAAAUUCCUGCAAAAUCUAUGAAACAAAUGAAUUUAGUACUCUCCACCCUGAAAAUUGAAUUAAAUGACAAACGAAAAGCAAAAGUAACAUGUAUAUAUAUAUAUAUAUCAAUUAUGGAGAUGAACUAUAACACUCACUCCACAUAAGUGGAGAAAAGAGAAAUUAAUCAACCUGGUGUUGAGAGAACGUUAAUAUCUUCAGCUUAGGAAACAUCUCAAGAAGUUCAAAAAGCUCUAGAAGAUCAAGACGACCUCGAGCGUUCAUUGCCUGGUGUUGUAGAAACUCAGCAUUUGGAAAUUGAAGAACCAUAUCUUCCUUCUUCAUGGCGAGAAGCAACUGCAGACACAAUAUGCAAGUUAAAUUGCAAUUUGACUUUUAAAUUGUCUACUAUUAAUCAUGCCAUAAGUCAAUAAAGGGAAUAAGAAAUCAAACCUUAACGUCCAACUCAGAUAAUUCAACCUUCUUAACAUGGCAGAUGCUUCGAAGAAGGUGAUAGAACGUUACAAGAGGCGGAUCAUACGCGUUGCAAAAUUGAUUGAAAGAAGCAUGAGUCAAAGAUGGGACAUCAAACAAACAACUACCACCAUUAACAACAUUUGCAUUAAGUUGUAGAGUCAAGAGAUUAGGAGCCCGAAUUCUCAGCAUUGCCAUUAUGUCAACAUCAACCCGCAUACCACUGUUCUUGAUUAUGAGCUUCUUCAAACUAGUAGAUCGGAUAUUGAAGUCCUCAACAAUUUUAUCAAUAAACAAUAUCAUCGUUUCCAAGCAAGGUGCACCCAGGAGAAGUUUGUUAAAGACAUCAUCACACGAGGUAUUUAAAACUUCAAGAUGUAAACUCUUGAGUUGAUUCCACUGCACACUCCCCUCAAUCACCAACAAACAACAACCAAGGUGUAAUUCUGUAACGGACGAGCAUGAAUACAAACGCUGAGGUGGGCAGUAAUGGACAUUGGUAGGAGGUCCAAAAUCUAUGUAUAGCUCUUCCACUUGUUUUGCAACCGCAAAAAGCAGCCACGAAUCAACAUCACUAUUAGGAGGCCUCCUCCAAUGCUUAUUGCGUAAUGAGUAGUAGAAGCUGACGAUCUUCUCACCUCUCCAUUUCGCAAGAACUGCACGAAUGAAAUGUCGAUCUACACCUACAAAUUUCAGGCGGGGCACGGUGGUCCAAAGAUCUCUCCAACGUUCGGAGAGUACUGUUGUCCUAACAACAUACUGUGUUUCCAACAGUGAAAGAAUCAUGAGGAUUAAGGAGUCGGGUAACGCACUUAGUCGAUCACGGUGAUCAUAAGACUGCCAGGAAUCCAUUACUUGUUUAACUCUGGACUCAAAUUUAACUCAAAAAGACCUACUUUCUUAGAUGUGAUUUCAACUGGGAAAGUAAUGUAUUGAGAGAUAGCAGCGCACAACAAUGAGAGUGGUGGCUGUGGCUGAUGAGUGAUCACCAGAAGAGACUUACAUCUUACCCUAGAACAAGCACGAAACCAUUUGGAUAAAUAAUCAGACAGAAAAACAAAAUUAGAAGAUGCAAGAUGCACAUUCUUUCAAAUUUAUAACUAAAUAGUAAAAUAUUAACUCAUUCUUCUAGCUGAUGGAUUAACUUUCUUCGAACAUUUCCUUCUUUUCUACCCAAAGAAAGUCACUACGCUUAAAAUGUCAAAACUGAACAACAACAUUUCAAUACAAAACAAAUAAAUACCGAAAUACACAAAAAUAAUACUAACUCGUAUAAGAAAACAGAGUUUGUCACACUUACCACUUGUUGAUCAAAAAGGCUCGAGGAAGUCAUUGAUUGAUUCAGUUCCAUUUCUCUGUGAGAAUUUCCGAGUAAAGUUGGAAAGUAAUGUAUUGAGAUGAGAGANAAAAUAUAAUUUCCAACUAUGUAUAAAGUGUAAUGAUCAUUAUAGUUAUUACUAAAUAAUUUUAAAUUAUUUAAUAAUGAAAAUUAAUAUACACAUUAUUAUUAUAGAGUAUUCCACAUAAUAAUGAAUAAAUAAAUAUUUUCAUACACAAGCAUAAAUAAAAAAGUUGUAAAAUUUUAACAAAAAGAAAGAAAAUAAAAUAUUUUUAAAUUGUAACCUAUUCAUUUAAAUUUUUUUUUUGAUGAUUUUUAUAUCAUAUCAAAAAUCUUGUUACGAACUUAAACUUUAGAUGCAUAUUGUAUAGUAUUUCUUAUAAAUCAAAUUUGAUGAAUGUUUAGAAUUAUAAAAAAAAAUAGUAAAAAAUUGAUGAGAGAAGAGAGAGAAAAAAUAGAGGGGAAAAUUAGAGAAAAAAACUCCUAUUUUUAUACUUACUCCGUCCACGAAGAUUGUGUUUAUUACUAUUUUCGUCCGUCCAUAAAGAUUAUGUGUUUUCUUUUUUUAGAAAUUCUCUUUAUAUUUUAAACCACAUUCACACUCAAUAUUUACAAAAUACUCAUCUUUUACUUUUAAAUUUUAGUGUAGCCAAUACUACCCUUUAACAUUAAAAUUAAAUCUUUCAACUUUUUUUUUUAUUAAAACUCGUGCCCUCCACUCCACCACAUAGUCUUUGUGGACGGAGGGAGUAUAUUAUAUAGAUUGUGGAAAAAUUGUUCAACCCCUUAAAUUGGUGAAAUUGAUGAUAAAAAAAAAGUUCAUGGAGUUGGAAAUUGGGAUAUAGUUCAUGAGUUUUGGCGUAAUAAACCCUUUAUUUAUUUAUUAAUCUUCAAAAAUAAGUAUGUACUCGUGUUUGAUUUUUUAUUACUACUAGCAGAAAGAACGUACGUUGUACGUGUAAUUAAUGUUAUUUUGAUUGAUAAUUUAUUAUUUAAAAAAUAUAUUAAUUCAUUACUUUUAUUAGAUAAUUUAUUGGAUAGAUAUAUAUAUUUAUAAAUCUUAUCAAUAGCUAUAGAUAUAAAAUAUUCUUUAUAGAUUUGAGUGACAAAUAAAUGUAUAUCAAAAUAGAUUUUAUAUUUUAUAAAGGGGUUAUUGCCAGAAAAUACAUAUACUUUGUCAAUUUUCUGGUUUAUAUCAUGACUUUAUAAUUUGGCCAGAAAAUACAUCAAUUUUCAAUUUAAUUGCAAUUAUAACAUGACUUUAUAGUCUGGCCAGAAAAUACACCAAAUUUCAAUUUAUUCUCAAUUAUAACAUGACCUUAUUUAGAUUAUUUUUCAUCAUAGAUGUAUUAAUAUUUAUUGUAUUUAUAUUAAAUUUUUAUGUAUAAAAUAUUUUUAAUUGAUUGAUUAAUUUUUAUAAAAAUUAAGUUAGANNNNNNNNNNNNNNNNNNNNNNNNNNNNNNNNNNNNNNNNNNNNNNNNNNNNNNNNNNNNNNNNNNNNNNNNNNNNNNNNNNNNNNNNNNNNNNNNNNNNNNNNNNNNNNNNNNNNNNNNNNNNNNNNNNNNNNNNNNNNNNNNNNNNNNNNNNNNNNNNNNNNNNNNNNNNNNNNNNNNNNNNNNNNNNNNNNNNNNNNNNNNNNNNNNNNNNNNNNNNNNNNNNNNNNNNNNNNNNNNNNNNNNNNNNNNNNNNNNNNNNNNNNNNNNNNNNNNNNNNNNNNNNNNNNNNNNNNNNNNNNNNNNNNNNNNNNNNNNNNNNNNNNNNNNNNNNNNNNNNNNNNNNNNNNNNNNNNNNNNNNNNNNNNNNNNNNNNNNNNNNNNNNNNNNNNNNNNNNNNNNNNNNNNNNNNNNNNNNNNNNNNNNNNNNNNNNNNNNNNNNNNNNNNNNNNNNNNNNNNNNNNNUAUAUAUUAUUUACAUAUAGAUGUAUAUUUAUCAAAUAUAUAUGUAUUUAUAUAUAGUAUAUUGUGAGAUGAAAAGAAAAUUAAAAAUAUUUAAUGUAUUAACCUUGAUAUUAUUAUACUAAAUUAAUUACAAGGUCAUGUUAUAAUUGAGAAUAAAUUGAAACUUGGUGUAUUUUUUGGCCAAACUAUAAAGUCAACAUAUAAUUGCCAUUAAAUUGAAAAUUGAUGUAUUUUCUGGCCAAAUUAUAAGGUCAUGAUAUAAACCAGAAAAUUGACAAAGUAUAUGUAUUUUCUGGCAAUAACCCAUUUUAUAAAUAUAAUAAUAAAUAAUAACAAGGGUAAAAUAGACAAUUCACAAAUUGUGUCUUAGAUUGUCUUAGGCUCUUUUUGUAUUAGUAUUAGGUUUUUUUUUAUCUUACCAUUGGUAAACAAACAACUCUUUCGUUAGUGUUGGGAAUGGUGAAAGUUGAAAAAUAAGAAUAAAUAAAAUACUAAUGUCCCUAAAUGAUUGGAAAGUUAUUUAGGGAACGUCUCAAGAAGAAAAUAUAAGAAAGUUAUUUGGGGGACAGGGGGAAUAUUUGCGUAUUACUACUUCAUAAACAUGGAUUAUCUUUGCACCCCAUUUCCCGGCUUGACAUUAAGAACUCCCAACACAUGACACAUCCAUUUCCAUUUUCCAACGACCGCUUGGUGUUUGGACUAAAAUUGGUUGAUGACUUCUCAACGUUUAUAAGCUGCUCGAAAGCUUGCUCAUACAAGUAAAUAACCUCCCGCGCCGCAACAACUUCUUCACCUAUCGCCUGAAAGAAAAUAAAGCUAUCAUCCGUGAAAAACAAGUGUGUGAUACUUAGCUGUCGAAAAUUAAUGGGAACACCUCUAAUCCGUGCAAUCUUUUCACAUAAAUUAAACAUAAAAGAAAAGUCUUGGGCGCAUAUCACAACAAAAAAAAGGCGAAAGGGGAUCUCCUUGAUGAAUACCGUGUGUGGGCAGGUACGAUUUCACCAUACAUCUUCUGUUAAGAAGGAAGGAAAAUGAUACAGACCUAACACAUCUCAUGAGAAGCAUGCACAAAGAGUCUGGAAACCCCAGUCUUCGCAACACCACCUCCACAUAAUCUCUCUCUACACGGUCAUAUGCUUUGCUCAUAUCCAACUUGAGCUCAGCGUACCUGUCUUUGCUUUUCUUCUUUGCUCUUAACCAGUGUUGGCACUCAAAGUUGAUCAAUGCAUCGUAAUUUGCCUCUACUCCUUAAUAAAGGCACUCUAUGAUUGGUCUAUAAGCUUUCCCAUAACCAUUCUCAUUCUGUCCACAAAAAACUUUAGAGACAGUUUUUAUACAUAGCGUUGCAUAUGCUUAGUGGCCGAAAUUUAGAAACUCUCUCGGGCUUUUGUCGGAUGCAUGUCAAAGAUAUAUUUGUAAACUGCAACAAUGGCUGGAAAAGGUGCGGGUAUGGCCACGUAUUCGUGCGUCGGUGUGUGGCUGCACGACCGUAUUGAGAUCAUCGCCAAUGACCAGGGAAACAGAACCACGUCGUCGUGUGUCGGCUUCACCGAUCCAGAGCGUCUCAUUGGUGACGCCGCGAAGAAUCAGGUUGCCAUGAACCCGAUCAACACAGUUUUUGGUACGAAUUACUUCCUACUUUGAUUGUGUAUAUGUGUUAGUUUGUCGAUCUGUUUUGUUUGUUUAGUACAUUAAGCAAUCCAGAUUUAAGUUAAGCUGUAUGUUAUUCGAUUCUAAGUAGAAUUAAUUAGCUUAAUAAGCAUGUUGUUGAGCAUGAAUUCGUCUUGAUUUUGUGUCUUCUAUCUUUAGAUCUGAUUCUCUCUGAGGCCGUUUCCAUCUUACGCAUUUACUGUGAUAGUAUUUAAUUAUUGUGAUUUUGUGUAGACUUUCUGGAUCAUGUUCUACUGCGCAACGAUGUGAUAUAGAUAAACUAGGUCUGUUUACAAUCUCCUAAUUUGAGAACUAGUCUUUUGUAAAAGCUUACUUGUGUGCUUGGAUGACGGCUUGUAGCUAUAUAUAGUUCAGGUUUUAAUAUGAUAUUUAUCAUAUCUAAUAAUGAUUCAUUCGUAUUUAUUUUGUUGGUACAAAUGAUUGUGGAAUAAAUACAGCAACAAAACAUUCACUUAUUCACUUUAUUACCAAACACACUUAAAACAUUAGUUUUUUAAGUUCUGUGACAAAAAGAAGUCGAUCAACUUAGUAGAAACAGAAGAAGUAAAAAAAAAACUAUCUCUUCAUAGCAUAGUAGUAAAAAAAAGGGUUAAUUAGCUCUAAAUCCUUUAACUAUAGUCAUUUUCCGUUUUUUCCCUCAAUCUUUGAACUUCCCACAAAAAACCCCAAACUUUCAAUUUUUCCUAAUUUUCCCAUGAUGGGUUUUCCGGUCAAGUUCGGCGUCGGAAUUUUCCUAUGUGGCGUUAUUCAUGCCAAAUCACCCUAUACGUGGCAAAUCACACCCACCCUCCCCCUCACAGGUCACUCUCUCUCUCUCUCUCUCGCUUCCCCAUCCCCUUUCCCCCCUCUCCCCCCCGUCUGGCUCUCCCCCUCUCUCUCACUGCCACAACCGCCCAGAUUCUCGGGACGGCGGUUUCUAGGAGAUGGCACAAGCCGAAGAGGGACGGUAAAGGCCCUCCUGAGAUCGAGAUCAGCGAUCUUAAUCACAGAUUAAUUCAAAUUUCAGCGUGGAUUUUAAUUUUUUUAAAUGACAUGGUACGAACCGACAUCGUUUUAUGCCAUGUCAUUUAAAAAAAAUAAAAUAUAAAUUACACCGUGGCAUUCGCAGCGAGCCACAUCACGUUUUUUAUGAUCGAAAAAUGGACGCUGGAUAUUUUUGAUACAAACGUAAUAGUUUGAGGUUUUAGACGAUAUUCAUAAUAGUUCAAGAUAUUUUUGAUAAAACGGAUAUAGUUCAGAGUUUAAUAUGAUAUUUAUCCAAAUUAGAAUGAUAUAUGAUGAAAAUAGAAAAUUAAAAUUGAAUUGUUUUUUAAAAAAUGAGUGUUGUUUAUAAGAUAAUAAAAUAAUAAGUUGGGGUAGAUAAACUUAUUUUUUUGAGGAAAUUUAAAAGAGAUUAUAAACUUUAAAUAAUUUAUAAAUUAUUUUAAAAAGCUUAUUGGAUCAGUCAAACACCCUCUAAUGGAGUUUGAAACUUUGAAAGAAUUUGAGUAGGAGCUUAACUUAAUCCAUUACUAUGAAAUUUCAAAUAAUCCAGAAAACAAAAAUUAAAUAAAUAGCUAAAAACCCCUUACGACGACGUAAUGAACUCAGUUCAUCUCCCCCGUUUGCAAAUGAACUCCUGCAAAACCCUAAUUCGCGCUACAUUAUCAUGCCUGGAUUUCCGAGCUCGAAUUCCAAAUUCAAGUAUGCUGCGCCAUUUUCCCGUCUCUCUUUCAUCUCGUCCAGGUGCAUAAUUAUUAAUACGGUUGACAUACUCAGUAUACAUCUGUGUUAUCACGCAUUGUCUAUUUGCUGUGAUAUGAAUAUCCAAUUGUUUUAUGAAAACAGGGUUGAGAAUCAAAUCCCACAAGCCCUUUUCGAUUUCUAGAAGCUUCGGUAGUCUGGCAACCGCUAUUACAUCAGAAAUUUCCGAUUGUACAGAGGGAAUUGUAGCUCAUAGUGUUAAUUUAGAAACGCCACAAGAUUUAUGUAAGGAUAGGGUGGAGGAACUAUUGUCUUCCAAGAACAAGGAUGAUGUUUCAAGCUUGAUGAAAAUGGAACGUCGUUUGGGAAAUGGUGAUGAGAGCAUGGUGCUGAGAGGAGGAAGCGUUGGUUUCCUUAUUUAGAUAAAUGUAAGCCGAGGAUGCGUAUCUGAGCAGCAGUGAGUUCUGGAAGCUGUUGCUCCUUACAUAAUGGACCCGAGGAAGGAAAAGUUUAGGAAUGCAGUGAAUAAUAGGAGCUAUUCUGUGUGUUUAGUGGUUGAGGGGUUGAGCGACUUUGGGAAUGUUUCGGCUGCUUUUCGGUCUGCUGAUGCUCUUGGAAUUCAGUCUGUCCAUGUCGUCUCAUUUGACAGCUCCAAAAGGUGCAUCACUGCCGGUUGCAAAUGUGUUUUGCAUAUUGGUUGAAUGGUAUAUCAAGUUAUUCAUGAUUUCAAGAAAAUAAUUAUGAAGUUGCAUCAUGUUAGAAGCUUUCUGAUUUUUAGUUUUAGUCAUGAAGUUGCAUCAUGUUGUGUCAUUUGACAGCUCCAAAAGUUGCAUCACUGCCUGUUGCAAAUGUGUUUUGCAUAUUGGUUGAAUAGUAUAUCAAGUUAUUCAUGAUUUCAAGAAAAUGAUUAUGAAGUUGCAUCGUGUUAGAAACUUUCUGAUUUUUAGUUUUAACUUGCUGGCUUUAGGCACAACUAUUUGUUGAUCAGCAUUUUAUUAUAGUCAGGCUGUGGAAUUUUAGCUAUGCUUCUAACUGAAAGACAGUGAGGAACUUAUCUGCUGAUUUGCAUUCACGAAUAAGUUUCUGGAUUUGGCGUUGUGGGGUUAACCAUCUCACUCUUCUACCUCCAAUAUAUAGGUACAGAGACAAUCGCCAUGUCAGCAUGGGAGCAGAGAAAUGGUUGGACAUUGAACUGUGGGACUCAAUCAGUGAGUGCUUUGAAGUUCUGAAAGCACGUGGCUAUAGAAUUGCCACAACUCACCUGGGGGUGGAUGCGGUAUCAACAAAUUUAUUUCCUUAUAUUUUUCAAUGAAGUGAUAAAUUUCGUUGAGAUCCACAGCUAAUGCAAUACAACAUUUGGUGCUUCUCUAGGUUUCUGUCUAUGAUGUAGACUGGUCUUGUCCUACUGCAAUAGUUGUUGGAAAUGAACUUAAGUACGUUUGCUCUAGCCUAUAUAUUCUUGGAUUUUUGUUCUAUAUCAGCGAGAUUUCUUUUCGGAGUCUUGGAAGAACAUAUCCAAAUGAAGUUGUCUAAGAUAAUAACUUCCUAUAUUGAGUCUCAUGGAGUGUAACUGAAUUCUUGUCUUGUUUGUUUUAAAAUCCAUGUCAUUAAUUUCCAUUUCGUUCUUUGGGUUGGAUCAUUAUGAAUUACUUGGUAAUGCUUUCACGUUCAGUGGGAUAAGUGAAGAGGCUCUUAAGCUUUCAGAUCUACACUGCUGUAUCCCGAUGAGAGGCAUGGUUGACUCAUUUAAUGUUUCAGUAGCUGCUGGACUUUUAAUGCACCAUGCUGUAUGUGACAGGACUUCCCGCAUGGUAAUUCCUUUUUUUUUUUCUCAUUAUUAUUAUUAUUAUUAUUAUUAUUAUUAUUAUUUUAAUAUUUUAUCACUGAAAUUACAUCCUUGAACAACUAAGCUACCUAUGUGCUUAGGUUAAGUAGAUGAUUUGUAGUGAAAAUCUCACAUUGUGGAUGUUUAAGAAAGAAAGUUGAGCUUAUGAUGACCUUUUGACAUAUCUUACGGAAGAUUCUGUUCUCCGGUGUUUCUAGAUUCCUUUCUUUAUACUCGAGGAGUAUUCCGUAUAACAGCUUUUAUCUAGAUAUGCUUGUACCAGACUUCAGCCUUGUACAGGAUCGGGAAUUUCAACUGGACGAUUAAGUGUAUCAAACUUGGGCUUCUUCCUCUUAUAUGAUUUCUGUGGUUUGACUUGAGAUUCUACAAUAACUGAAUCCUUAUUUAACAUGGCCAAGAUAUUUGGAAUCCUAGUCUUCUAGUACAAAAAUUAUGUUGGGUUUGAAUUUUCAACAAAUGAUGGAAUUUCAUGAGUGCUCAUGUUUCUGUAGUAACAUUUUCUGUAUUGAAUCUCUUUUCUUCAACAAUUGAUGCUUUAAGCUCUAAGAUGCACACUCGUGGAAAUUACUCUCAGUUUUCUUGUUGGCUAUAGGGUUGUCAUGGGGACUUAACAGAGGAUCAGCGCCAAAUUCUCCUGGCUGAGUUUUACCUCCGUCACAACAAAAACUCCACCAGAAUUGCCAAUGAAUACUCCAGGAGGAAAUUAGCUAUGCAAUCAAAACUCUGAAAGCACGACGUUUAACCUUGCAGAUCCGUAGUGGAGAAAUGUUGCAAAUCAUGAUGCAGAGUUCGAUAGGUACGGAACCCUUCUUUUGGCUUUCCAACUCUUGCGUAAUUGAAGCAACGCAUGGUGACAAGUUGGUAAGUUGUUACUCUCUCGAAUCGCAGGUAAUAACAUUGGAAAAACGGCAAGUUAAGAUUUUGGGCAAAGCACCAUAGUUGCCUUGGAAGGAUGAUGGCCACAUUGCCAGUUAUAUCAAUGCUGAAAGCCUCAAAACAGAAUUUUUGACAAGAAAAACAGAAUCUCAGCAACCUUAUGGACAUCAAAAAAAUCUGUUUUCUGCAGCAUCCUAGAGAAUUAAUUUUUGUAUUACACGUCCACUGAGGCACUGAGUAGCUUAUGAGAUUUCAUAUGAUAAUGAUGUGAGAUUUUGUAAAAAAAAUACUAUAUGUAGGUGUAUCUUAGUAAUUCUAUGUAUUUGAUAGACCUUGGCUGAUUAAGUUUAUCUUUAUUUCUUCUUAUCUUGUUAAGUCAUUUAUUAUGUUUGGGUCAAUAAUUAUUAUGAGUCCUUAAGCCCGUCCAGUAUGUUGCAUGGGCUUAGUAAGUUAGGGUUUCCUUUUCUAUUAUUUAUAGUGAGUAUCGUAGCAGUAGGGUUUAUGCUGAGAUUAAGUUUGUAAACAGCGUGUUUGCUGUAGGCCUCCGUUGUGGAGGAGUUCCUCUCGUUCAGUAAAUUAUAUUGUUAGCGUCAUCUCCACCUUUACUCUAUCAAUUGGUCCGACCUACCAUGGUUGCUACGACGCGCAGCACCGAGUCUCGACUGGAUUAUUUAGAGAAGGUGGUGUUAGAGUUGCAGACAUCGCUGACCUCCCUCACCAAAGCAGUCGACGCUAACCGUUCUGCCGUGGAAACUCAACUUGCAGCCAUCUUGGCCGCCGUCUCGUCCACUGGAAAACAACCCUUCGUUCCAGACGACCCCAGCGACUCUUCCACUGGGAAACAGCCGUUCGUUCCCGACAACACCAACCCCACCAUUAUUCCAAUUCAAAAAUCUGACUUACCCGGGUUCGAUGGAUCUGAUCCCGUGGGCUGGAUUGCUCGAGCCAACCAAUAUUUUCUCGUCCAUCGCAUUCCACCGGCCAUGAAGCUGCAGCUUGCUAUUAUCGGCAUGUCUGGCGCAGCUAUUUCCUGGUUACAACUACUCCUGCGUCGUAAUCCCAACCCGGCAUGGCCACAAUUCACCCAAGCCUUAUUGGCGCGUUUCGGCGAUGCCUCCACGCUCAACACCUACGAGGCCUUGUUUCUAUUACGUCAAACAGGAUCUCUGGAGGAUUACAUCGCUGCAUUCGAAAGCCGCGUGGCCCAGUUGCCUCCCCUUUCGGAUGACCAGUGCUUAGGAUAUUUCCUCGGUGGUCUCAAGCGUUCGGUGCAAGAGCAGAUACAGGACAACGCUCUAACUGACUACACCUCUGCGGUCAGCGCAGCGCGCCGUGUUGAACGUCCUAGUACCCCUACCGUAUUUUCCCACCGUGUUACCCCUGUCACAGCCGGCCAACCAACGGCCACCACUACCUACUCUUCCGACUCCACGGGUUCUGUCGCUUCACCACCUUUAAGCAAGGCCAAAAACUUUCGCCAACUGCCGCAAUCAGAGAUUCAGAAACAUCUUGCCGCUGGUACCUGCUUCCGUUGCGGUCUGACUUUCGGACCCCUUCACCGCUGCCCGCCUAAGACGUUGAACGUCCUUGUGUGUGAUGAAUUGGGGGAGCCCGAGUUCGAUGCACUACACCAGCAUGCGCCUGUUGAGGCAUCCUAUUUCCGGUCCAUGCUCCAGCCUUGAGGACAAGGCUGUUUUGCCCGGGGAGGCUAUUGAUAGACCUUGGCUGAUUAAGUUUAUCUUUAUUUCUUCUUAUCUUGUUAAGUCAUUUAUUAUGUUUGGGUCAAUAAUUAUUAUGAGUCCUUAAGCCCGUCCAGUAUGUUGCAUGGGCUUAGUAAGUUAGGGUUUCCUUUUCUAUUAUUUAUAGUGAGUAUCGUAGCAGUAGGGUUUAUGCUGAGAUUAAGUUUGUAAACAACGUGUUUGCUGUAGGCCUCCGUUGUGGAGGAGUUCCUCUCGUUCAGUAAAUUAUAUUGUUAGCGUCAUCUCCACCUUUACUCUAUCAGUAUUACUCCAUUUAAUUCCAAAAUUGGGAAAAAUAUUUACACAUCAUCUUUUCCAUUUAUAUUCUUCACUUCUUUGUCAAAAAGCAUUCAAAAAUCAAUUGUUAUUAACGUAUGACACCGUUUAUUUUUGAGAGUAUGUACACUCGUUUUUUAGUUGUGGUUUUGCAUUUUUAUAGAUAUUUUUUUUUUCUCUUCAUUGGAGAUGGAUUUUAUUUCAAUGUAACAAUUCUUCAACUUCACACACAUUUCAUAUGUUUCGUUUACUUAAGAAUUAUGAUCUGCUUCAAAUAAUUUGCUAGAGUGCAUGGACCCUCAACAUUUUACUGAUUUUUGACAUUAAAAUUGCAGCAAAAAAANUACAUUAUAAAGGAAAUAUGCUUUUAGAGACGAGUAAGAGAAUAACUAAAGCAUAUUGUGAGCAAUGAGCAUACUACAUCUCACAACAAAAGAAUCCAGUCACCAUAAAAAUUAUAUUCACUGAUUACACAACCCAAUAAAAUUUACAAGUAUCUAGAAAUUUGCCUACUCUAUUAAGGUAGUAGUAUCAGUCGUUUGAAUCUUGUCUUUGGAGUUUUGCGUGCUCAACCCUUCCCGCCUUCUCAAUUCUUGUGACUUAAUAAAUUCUUCGAUUUUCGCCUUCAACUCCACGUCGGGUAUUAACAUGUCCGCCGUGAGAUGAGAACGAUUAAAUGGAUCCGUCUGUAUUCCGAAAUCAAGAAUAAUUAAUUUCAAUUUUCCAAAACAAUACAAUGAAGAAUUAAUUAUUAACGGGCCCUUACACUAUCACUUAAAAGAUGCCUCUGGAUCACCGGUCUAUCGACGAUCACCCUUGAUGAUGGCAAAAUGACAGGAUCCUUCAUUAAAGUGUACUGCAACACCAAGAAACAAUAACAUGCUUACAAACAGUAGUAGAAGAAUGUACCGAGGAGACGAGAUGACAUUGUUCAAUUUUCCAAUGAACCAAUCCUUAUUGAGACCGAGACAUGCAAGAAAAUCAUCAUGUACCUGAAUUGGGUCGAGGAAUUCGUCAGGUACGUCUCCGAGAGCAGCCUCAGCAUCCCUGGCCUCUACAGCCGCAACUCUGGUUUUAGUGCCAAGCUCGACAAACUCAUGUAUGAUCCUAGCAUCUUCUCCGAUUUUCCUCAAGACAUCAGAUGCAGCAUCAAAUAACUGGCAGCGCCCACCACCAACCAGAAAACAAAAGUAAACAUAUAUAGAUAAGAAAAUAUAUAUAUUCUUACACUCAAUAUAAUCUCAUUGGGUAGAAUUUUUGUUCCUCAGCAAGUAUAAGGAAAAAACAGAAAAGGUACGUAGAUGAAUAAACCUGUUCAUUGUAUGAACGACCAUCCCUUGUGAUGGCUGCUGGGAAUAUAUUUUCCGUGUCUCCUCUAGCUAAGUUGACAUAUAUAGUGACAAUCUUCAAAACAGAGAAAAAGGAAUAUGGUACCAUCAGUCACAUGGUUCAGCUUUCUUACAACCAAUUCAAAAUCAAAAUCACCAAGAAAAAGCGACAAUGCAUAAGCACGAACAAAGUGGUUUUCAGUACCUGCUUUAGCAGCACUUUUGGUCGAAACUCAUACUUCUCAGGGUCCUUCAAGGUAAGAGAUUUUCUUUGCGGCCCCACAAGUUGUAACAAAAAGUAAUUCAGCAUACUGGCAACUCUCUCAACCUGGAAGACAAAACCCUGUUAGAAAAACUUAAUACGAACUCCUGAACUUGAUGAAUAAUCAGCCAAAAACACUAACCAUCUCCGGUAGCAGAAAAGGGGAUAUAAUCUGCUCUGAUGUAAAUGCUAGCAUGCUCACAUCUUCAUUUGCCAAUUUCAUAUCAAUCCUAAUAAUCUACAGAAAUGAAUGAACUAGGGUUUCAGUCAGUAUUCCAAACUAAAAUUUAAACCUAGAGAUAUGUGAAGUGCAAACUGACAUUCUCCUGAGAGUGGAAAAGUCGAGUUCUCUCCUGUCUCUCUUGGGCUGGUCUACUUUCCCACUCCGCAGUGUUAGACAUCUCAGCUUCUAGUCCUUUGAGUUCAAGAAUUUUGUUGAGACUUUCAUCCAACAAAUAGAUGCUAUCGUUGAUUAAAAAGUUCAAAAAGUUCAGAUAGACGCCCUUUUCCUCCUCCUUAGCUAUCUGGUACGGAAGAAAACAAUAUAUAAACAUAACGUUCCAUUGGAACAUAGAUCAAGGUAAGGAAAAAUAUAAUGGAUAGCUUUACCCUUCUCCAGACAUUUCGAUGACUAGGAACCUGCCAUAAGUACUCCAAGAGUUCGGCAAUGUUGUGACGUAUGUUGAAUUUGUCAUAGAACUGAGGAGGUGUCAAUAGGACUCAGUCAAGAAAAGCAUAAGUACAAGAUUGCGCACCAUCGAUAAGAAAUGAAAUGCCAAAUAAUAAUGAGGAGGAGGAGAACAUUAUAUGCGCUGAACAUGACAAUACUUAAAUGCUCAAAGUCCAUCUAACUUACUAAAAGUAGCAACUGUUAAACUAGCAGGUUUUCAAGGACAAAUUGAUACCAGAUCCUUACUAAUGUUUAGCAAUCAUAUCAGUGGAAAGCGAAGAGUCUACUUGAUAAAGCAUGCGUUAGUAAUCAAUAUGAGAAGUAGGAGUAUAGGACGAUAAAGGCAAUAAAACAGUAAGUUAACUAUCACAUGAAAAACUGGUUAUCUCUAAAUAAUAUUUGCAGUUCUCCACUAACAUGACAAUUCUUAGUAACAAUUACCUGAGUGUGGGAACCAGUGAAUUCAAUAUCAACAUAAAGCUUCAGAAGAUUCUUCACUAGAUACUCAAGAGAUAACUGAUGCCCUUCAAACAAAGUUUCAGUUGCCUUUGAUCCACUGUACACAAAGUUAGUGAGGAUCAAUAAUAAUGAAGCAAGAUGAAUUAAACUACACUGUGCACAAAACUUAUCAAACAUACCUUCUCCGGGGCAUCCAACAAUUAAGCACUUCAACCAUUUUUGACCUUAGAUAUGGAUUACGGAUGUACUCUGGACUGGCCAUGAACAUAAUGAUGAAGUUCAUGAAAUCGUCCUGUCAAGAUGUACGAAGAUACAACUAGCUCGGUUCCAAGCAUUCAAGAUGAUAAUAAAAUUAUAUGUAAAAUCAGAUAUCAACAUACCAGCAUAACCCCAUCUAGAGCUCUAGGAAUUCGAGAGGCAAAAAUUAGCAAUUCCAUGGUAUCUUCUACAAAGUGCUCAGGCAUACAAGCAAAUUCCUUCGGGCAUGUUGGCGAUAGAGGCAUUUUAAACCCACCAACUAGCCCAACCAACCAAAUUACCAUCAGGCGGUAAUAAGAUAAUGCGCGUUGAAGAAUAGUUCCAUCCUACAUAAUAGAAAUGCUCGAGCAUCUAUCAUCAUAGCACUAUGGGAAUUACAUUUCCAAUUAGAGAGAAUAGAAGGCAAUAUUUUUUAUACCCUUAGUAUUUGAGCUUCAUAGCAUAAUUUCUCCUGUGUGUAUGACUCAAUUUCCUUUUCCAGGCGAGAUAUGUCUUGCUGCAAUUGUGGAGAAGGUGCCUGCUCAUGCAUGGCUUUGAUUGAGGACAAAGCAUCUUCACAUCUAGAAAUAUCCUGAACAUAAAGUCGAAAUCAAAGCAUAUUGUCAGCCAAUGGUUUUGAUGAAUAACCUUAUAUAAUGUAUAUAAAUGUGAAUUUAAAUAUAUACAAACACUACAAAAAUAAGGCUACAGUUGAACAAAACAUGUCUGAAAAGUGAAAAUUGAUACAAAACAUGUCUUAUUUGAACAAAAGACCAAGUAUAACCUGAAGGAGGUGUUUGAAGUCUGAAAAUGCUUUUAGCAACCCCAAGUUGAGCACCCUGGCAGUCAUGAAGAAGCAUUCACAUAUGAAUGGGUAUUUGGUUUUUUCACUACUUAUGUUAACUGGUUUAUUAUUUUGGAGAGAAGGUGUGCUGCCACUAUUGCUGGAACUUGAGGCUUGAAAUAGUAACAUCCGGGUUAGUUCAUCACCAGCACUUGUCGAGGUAUCUACUUUAGCACUAUUGCCACCAAACCAUUGAGAUACUUCUUCCGAUGAUGCAUGCAAAGCAGUCAAUCCACUGAUACAAGUUUGUCAGCCGAAAUAAUAUGGGGAAGUUUUAGUAUCAAUUAAAGAAUGGGUGAAAAAAAGGUAAAAAGUAAUCCUCUACCUCAAUUCCAGACGGUUACAGUAGAAAACAUAUUUAGGAUCAAUUUUGUCUCUUUUACUCAAAUUAGCAUCCAAGAACGGCUCACAGAGACGAAGCAUAACUGCACUAAGAUUUACAAACAUGCCAGAGCUAGCACAAGACAAAGGAUCAACCUGUAACCAAAUCCAGUGGCAACCGCCGACAUUGUUUUCAGAUUAGCCUCUUAAGAUCACUUUAAAGGGGAAAAUGAAGGCUGAGUUUUCCUCCUAUGACUACGAAAAAUAUACCUGUAAAUGCCCCCUUGAAGAAUUUUUGUUGAUGACUUCUGCAAGGUACUCAAGAACAUUUUCGCGUGUGUUUGUAUUUUUUAGGAGGCACAUAAGAACUUCCGCCAACCCGUCAUACAAGCUGUUCAUAACCGUUUUGAUAGUUGUAAAGGACGAAAGAAGAUCAGCUGGGCGGCGAGUUGAGGCUUCAGAGAAGCAUUGUUGGCUGACAAUGUAAACCCAAACAUCCAUUAUUACAAGAAACACAAACUGAACUAAAAAGAUGUCGUAGUUUCUAGCUAAGCUUCAAUAAUGAUCAAACCAAAAAACAAAACCAUCAUACAUAUAUGUCGAGAUUUGACUAGUAGUAAAAAUGUACCAACAUUAUAAAUCUUGCAUUAACAGAAUUAACUCAGGCAAGCAAAACUGAGACAAAAAAUUCUAACUUUACACAACAGCCAUAAUGGUAUACGUCGAGAGUUAGCUGGUAGUAAAAUGCACCAACAUUAUAAAACCUGCAUUAACAUAACUAACUCAGGCAAGCAAAGUUGAGACAAGAAAAAUUCUAACUUUACCCUAUAUCGGGCUCGCUCUUGAAUAUAGCAUUAUCCGGCAAUGCACUAACAUGAAAAAACGGCCCCAAUAUACUCGUCAUCUCCAUGACCCUCCCGUUCAAAUACAAACUAUUCGGUAUCCACCACGGAUGAUUGACCAACGCCUUCGCCCCCACAGGAUAAUUCACCAGCAGCAGCAGUGCCCUUAAUGGCUGCUGAAAAUUCCCCAAAGCUGAAACCUUUAAAACACUCCCUCUCAAAUCCUCAUACAACUGUUUCAUAACAGGCUCCAUCGAUUCAUAAUCAGCAUCCCUAAAAAAUUCCUCAAGAAAACCCGGUGGAGACGAAGCUCCACUGCUACUCCCACCGAAACCAUCAAGAUUACCCCCAACCUCCGCGAAGAUCAAAGGCAACAGCGGCGUAACACUCGAUUUGUUCGCAUCAUAAUUCGGAAACAUAUCCGGAUUACCCAAAUGAAUCUUACAGUAGGUUACUGCCAAUUUUUUGGCUUGUUUCACUACCAAUUCCAUCUCCGACCUCACGUUCUUAUCCUUCAUCGACGCGAUUUUCUUCCCCUCCUCGUAAGCGCGGCGGUAGCUGUUGACCAGAUACUGGAAUGGCGGCUCGGCAGCGGGGAAGCUCCCGGAGAGCCGAUCGAUUAAGGCUCUCUCCAUCGAUUCUCGCGAAAAUUUGAGCUCCUUACCCUCAUUCAUGAUCUCCGUGGCUGUCCCAUGUAGAUAAACUACACGAGAAUCGUUCUCCAUUGAAUCCACGAGCGACACCAAAAAUAUUUUCCUGAAGAUUAUAUCCUCGAUUUCCACCGGUGUUUUCGAGGGUUUUGGCGUCGCCAUUGAUGGAAGAUUAGUGCAAUCCGAUCACCCGAAAUCUGAAACUGAACGAAAUUCUGAUUUGAUUUUGAAAUAAGGGUUUUUCAGGUGUAGAUCAAUAAGGGAAGAAAUUGAAAACGAUGGAUUGCGGUUGUCUAUUAAUAUUUCCUUCUUCCCAUUAAUAAUAUCUAAAACAUAAUUUUAUAGUCCUAUUAAUAAUAAUUUAAUUUAAAUUUUAGUGAGAUGAACGAAGUAUCCUACAUCCACAAAAAAUAAUUUUGUUUUGCCAUUUUGAUAUCUCCACAAAAAUUAAUUUUUUUUAUCACAUAAUGAGCCUUGUUCUCUACUCACAAUACAAUUAAUUCAUACAAAAUACUAAUUUUUUAAAUGGAACCGUUUCUUCACUCACAAUACAAUAACCAUUUUUAUUAAAAUACAUGUCAUCUCUUACUAGAACUAUUUACCAUGACUAUUUAAGGAGUAGGAAAAUAUCAUGUAAACAAAAGUUUUUUUUUAAAAGAGAUUAAAAUGCAUAUAAAUACAUGAACUUUAGUCUAAUAUUUAAAUUGCAAGCAAAAUUUCAAAUUUUUUUGUCCCACCUCACCUGACCUAAUUCUUUUCGACACGAUUAUUUAGGAGAAUAAGAUUGUAAUGUAAAAUAAAAUAAAGUAUGUAGGCUCAUACUUAUUGUAAUGUAACUAAAAAAAGACAUUGGCCAAAUUUUAUGGGACAGUCCCAAAUAAAAAUUAGGCCAAAUGAAAUGAGAUGAAGAAAGUAUAAUUUCUUUUUAUUUUAAUUUUUUCACGAUUUACUUUUUCGGCCAAAUUAAAGUUAACUUGGCACAAAUGUAACAGUCAAGAUAGUGCCGAAUAGUCAGCCUAAAAGAUAAAACGACACAAUUUCAAUAAGUAUAUACGAUAUCGUUUAAUAUAUACUCCAUAAAUUACAUCGUCGAUUAUGUUUCUAGAUUUGUUCUCAAUCCCUAAAAAGUUGUUUUUCUCUAUAUUUAUUUAUUUGUUUCACCACUUGUGAUCGACGAUUUUUGUAUUCUCUAAGGGCCUGUUUGAUAUGGGUUUAUAGGUAGGAUAAAUUAAAUUAAUACAGGUUAGUGUGAUGUUUGAUAUCAUGUUUUAUUAAUGAGGUCAACUUGUAACACCCUAAUCUAAAUAAAGUGUUAAAUAUGAAUUUAAAUAAUUUUUGACAGCGAAAAUAUCAUAAAAUAAAGAUUUGGAUUUAUUUUCAAAUAAAUAAAUUUUUAAAUAAAAUAUUUGAAAUAACUUAAAAAGAAGGCCAGCCAUGAUAGGAAGCUAAUAUGAUAACACUAAACUCGAUAAGUUACACCAAAAUCUCAAGAGUAGUUUGAGACUUCGAAAACUGUACAAAGCAAAAGGUUAGGUGUAACUACAACAUUAUAUUUUUCCAAAAAAUAUUUACUUGACGCGCUCAUUCGAUCCUCUACGCGUCUCCAACCUUAGUUACCUGAAAAUGUUAAAUAUGGGAUGAGCAUAUGAAAUAUACUCAGUGUGGGAACAUGCAAUAAUUGUCCACGUUAAUAAAAUGGUCAACACAUAAGCACUGCACUGUAAUACUGAUAACUGAAAUUCGCACGGUGGCAUACCAAGGACUUUAAAGUCCUGGACCCCAUUGAGCGGGCCCCUGGCCGAAUAGGUUGCACCUAACUGUAACAUGAAAUCGCAUUGUGGCAUACCAAGGACGGUGAAGUCCUGGACCCAUUGAGCGGCCCCUAGCGAUAUAACUGAAUUUAAACACAUAUGGCAAACACAUAAUAUUAAAAAUGGACAAAAUUAACCACCAUGUACUGAAAUAAAUCCACCCUGAAUUGAACUGAAAUAACUUGAUAGUAAUGAAAGUUCACGUUCCUAGUCGGCCGCACCUAGCUCUAAAUUCAAAUAGUAACAUAAGGGCCUAAUUGAACUUUACAAAAUACCUUAAUAUAACUAAACUUGAGAAAACUAUUUAUAAAAGUCUUUCAAUAAAAUUUGAACUGAAAAAAAAUGAUAAUUAAAUAAAUUAUAAUUGCUACUUAGAAGAGUAAUUAAAAUAAAAACCCAAUUGAUUAUUAUAAUUAAGGCCCAACCACUUAAUAAACUGAGCCCAAUUAAUUAAAACUAACCUAAGCCCAAGCCCCAAGCCCACUAUCAACCUCUAAUUUAAACUCACACCCAACUCCACUCCACACAUUCACACGCAGCUCACUCCCUCUCUCCCUUCCUCCCUCGGCCUUCUUCCUCUCGGCCUCUUGCCGCCGCACCUCCGGACGGCAGCGCCGUCAGCGCAGACCGGCGGCUCCGCCGCCUCUCCCUCUUCUUCCUAUCUCCCUCUUCCCUCACUCUCACUCCCUCUGUCCCUCUCCUCACCGCGUCUCCCCCUUCUCCGGCGACCCUCGCCGUCUGCCAGCACCUCCUCCUGGCCGUCAGCAGCGGCACCCUUGUCGCCGCCGUGUCGACAGCACAAGCCGGUCAGGCCGCCUUCUCCCUCUUCCUGAAAAGAGACGCACAGCCGAGACCAUAGCGCCGCCGCCCUGCUCCUUCCGCCACCACCCCCUGCUUCCUUCCGCCGGCCGCCAUGGCGCGCAGCGCCGGCGGUACUGCUGCUCAACCACCCCUCCCCCUGUUCUAAGCCACAACCCCUUUCCAGUUCAUUCUUUCUAUUUUCCUUUUCUUCUUGUAAGCAGUGAUAUGCAUGUUUGAAUUAGAAAAAAAUAAGAACUUUUGUGGGUGUUUGGUUUUGUGCAGAGAUGAACAACAGUAAAUGAAAUAACUUUGUAAAAUCAAUUAAAAUUUACCAGCUUGGAUUCUGUAAUGAGAGAUGGAAAUGGGUUUGUAUGCUGUAGGCGAAACAGACGAGGAAAAGGCGAAUUGGGGACGAUGAUUUGAGGUUUAAAUAGAGCUGCAAGAUUAAGUUUUUACCACAAAAAUGAAACGUGAGCUGCUUGUUCACGUAAGAAAAUUUGUGGAUGAUAAAGGAACCAAAAUUGUGGUUGAGAAAACUGGACGUGCUCCCCAAGCUGAAAAUGGAAAUGAGUGGGCUCUUAAUGUUGAAAGUAAAUUUUGAGAUAAGGCCCAAUAGAGAAAUUUGUAAUAUUCAAUUAUGGCCCAACUUUGAGCAUAAAAAUUUCAUUUGUUAAGUUAAUAAUCUGCAAUCUAAAAUUAUUUAUCUAACUAGGGGCGCGACUAUAUAAUUCACGAACUUGCUAUAUAAAUAUUCUUUUCAUGAUUUAAAAAUUAGUUAAAAUAUAAAUAAUGAAAUCAAACAAAUAUCCAGAUAAUCAAAUAAUUAAAUGGGUUUCGGGCUGUCACAACCCUACCCACUAAAAGAAAAUUUCGUCCUCGAAAUUUAACUUACUUGGUUCUAAGUGGGGAUAGCGAGCUAGGAUUUCUUCUUCACGUUCCCAAGUUGCUUCAUCAGGUCCGUGCCUAGUCCAUUGAAUUUUUACUAAGGGUAUUUCUUUACCCCGCAAAACCUUUACCUUCCGAUCCAGUAUGACAUUCGGCUCCUCUUCGUACGUGAGGUCCUUAUUGAUUUGGAGUUCUUCAUGAUGAAUGAUGUGACUAGGAUCGUGCAGAUAUUUUCGCAGCAUGGAGACGUGAAACACGUUAUGUACAGCCGACAAUUCUGGCGUUAAAGCUAAACGAUAGGCUACAUCUCCUAUGCGCUCUAGGAUUUCAAAAGGUCCAAUGAAUCGAGGUCUCAACUUUCCUUUCUUGCCGAAUCGUAGGACUCCUUUCAUUGGUGCCACUUUGAGAAACACCUUUUCGCCCACCUCAAAAUGUAACUCUUUUCGCCUGCGAUCAGCAUAUGAUUUCUGUCGAUCCUGAGCCAUUUUAAUCUUCUCUUUUAUUUUCCCGAUGACCUCAACCGUUCUCUCAACGAUUUCCGGGCCCAACACUUUUCGUUCACCAACUUCGUCCCAAUAUAGUGGCGAUCUACACUUUCUCCCAUAUAACGCUUCGUAUGGAGGCAUGCCAAGGGUCGUUUGAAAACUGUUGUUAUAUGCGAAUUCGAUCAAGGGCAGGUGAGUUUCCCAAUUGCCUCCAAUAUCCAUGACACUAGUUCGCAGCAUGUCUUCUAGAAUUUGAAUAGUUCUUUCAGAUUGUCCAUCUGUUUGAGGAUGAUAUGCUGUUGAAAAGUUGAGCUUCGUUCCCAUGGCUGCAUGUAAACUUUUCCAAAACCUGGACGUGAAUCUUGGAUCUCGAUCAGAAACAAUGGAUACUGGCACUCCAUGUAGUCUCACCACUUCUUGAACAUACAAUCUCGCCAAUUGGUNUCAAUAAUUCUCAUCGCGGUUUUACUCACGCGAAGCUAACUGGCUUAGUAAUAAAAUAAUAACCCUGCUUCAAUUAGAAUAUAAUCCAGUGUCAUAAGCUGAAUUUAAAUCAUAAAUAAUUACUGGACUUGAUUUACUGAAAGAUGAAAUAAUAAUUAUCGUAUUACUGGAUUUAAAUAUAAUAAAAGAGCGGGCUACUACAGUCGAUGAAAACUAUGACGAACUUGUCCAAAUAUGAGUGAAAAACACGAUUCAUCAGGUCCAUAAAUACCGCUGGAGCAUUGGUUAGACCGAAUGGCAUAACUACAAACUCAUAAUGACCGUAUCUUGUCCGAAAAGCUGUUUUAGGUACAUCAGUACCCUUUAUCUUGAGUUGGUGGUAGCCCGACCUCAAAUCAAUUUUAGAAAACACCUUUGCACCUUUCAAUUGGUCGAACAAAUCUUCUAUCCUUGGUAGAGGAUACUUGUUCUUGAUGGUAAGUCGAUUAAGCUCACGGUAGUCGAUACACAUACGCAUUGUCCCAUCUUUCUUCUUAACAAACAAGACAGGCGCUCCCCAAGGUGAUACACUUGGCCGUAUGAACCCUAUGUCCAAAAGCUCUUGUAGUUGUGUUUUCAAUUCCUCCAAUUCCUUUGGUGCCAUCCUAUAUGGUGCUUUUGAAACGGGUGCUGUUCCAGGCACUAAGUCGAUCGCGAACUCCACUUGCCUGUCUGGUGGUAUUCCAGGUAAAUUCUCGGGAAAAACAUCGGGGUAAUCACGUACCACUGGCACACUUUGGAGAGUAAGUUUUUCAUGUUCCUUGCCUACAAUGCUUACGAGAUAAGCCUCGCCAAAGCCUUUGUUCAAUAUCUUUAUCGCUUUCAUCGCAGAUAUCACCAUAGGCAUUCUUCCUAACUUUGAUCCUUGGAACGAAAAUUCUUUCUUUCCUGGUACUUUGAAAGUAACUUCCCUUUCGUGACACUUAAUUGUCGCAAAGUUUCGACUUAGCCAGUCCAUUCCCAAAAUCACAUCGAAGUCGUGCAUCUCUAUGAGGUACAAAUCGGCUUCAAACUUUCUAUUUCUAAAGUUCAAGGGAAUUCUCCGAGCAAUCCUAUUCGUUUUAAUGCAUUCUCCAGAAGGAACACUUAUGUUCAAGGCUAAGUUUUCUACUUCACAAGGGAUAUGAUUCUUUUGACAAAACUUAGCAGAAAUGAACGAGUGCGAAGCUCCAGAAUCAAAUAGAACAACUGCUGGUGUUCCAGAUAUGAGUAACGUACCAGUCAUUGUGUCAUCGUCCUCUGCUUCUUCUUGAUCAGCUAAAGCGAAGAAUCGAGCAUUUCCUUUCUUUUCUGGCUCUUUGCCUCCUCUUUUGUCUGGCCCAACAUUUUUCUUCCCUUCUAGCGCAUUGUUCAUCUUUUUAGGACAAUUAUGUGUAGUGUGCCCCGGUUCGUGGCAAAAGAAACAAACUCCUUUACCCCACAUGCACUCUCCAUAGUGAUAUUUUCCACAUUUCUGGCAUUGUGGUCUUGUCCCCGUUGUUCCUGGAUUAACGCCUCCACCAAACUUCGGCCUCUUAUCUUGGAAGUUUCCUCCGCCUUGAUUAUAGUUCUCCCACUUCCUUUUCAUAGGUUGAUUCGCUGGCUUUUGUGCAGGGAUGUUUGACCCAAGAGCAGUUGCCACCUCUUCGGCUCGCUUAACCAAAUCGCUAAAAUCUUCAAUUACAUGUGCAGCCAUAAUUCCCUUGAUGUCAUUUCUCAGUCCCUUUCUAAACCUAGCUAUCAUUUUGUCUUCUGUGUCAACUAGGUGUGGUGCAAAACGAGCCAACUCAUUAAAUUUUCUCUCGUACUCCUCUAUAGUCAUAUUUCCUUGUUUCAACUCAAAGAACUCGGUUUCCUUCUUUUCUCUGAAUGACAGGGGAAAGUAUUUAUCCAUUACUACUCCCUUGAAGAUUUUCCAAUUGAGAACAUUGCGAUCCUCUUCUCCCAACAGACGAUAGAAAUGUUUCCACCAUUGUCGAGCGUCCUCUUUAAGUUGAAAAACAGCACAUGAAACUUUCUGUUCCUCGGUACAGUUGAUGUGAGUGAAAAUCCGUUCAAGCUCUUCCAACCACUCUUCAGCUGCUAGCGGUCCAUCACGUCCAUUGAACCGUGGCGGAUUAUUGUUCCGAAAUCGCUCUACCGCUUGAUCUAUCGUGUUAGAGGUCUGGUUUAGGUCACGUUGUGUGGCCUGAGUUUGGGUUUGGUGCUGGACAAAACCCUGUAAAGCACUCAGAAAUUGACCCAUGAAGUCUCCUCCAUUAGUUGGAUGAGGUUGUUCUGCUUCUGCUUCGGAAUUGGUAUUUGAGUUCUCGGCGUGGUGGGAAUGUGCACGCGUAUUCCUCAUGGUUCUAUAAUCAAAGGCACUAUGACAUAAAUGAAAGAUUAUAAAACAAGGUUAUUCCUAAUUCGAGGACUAUGUUCAACAUGAAAAUUUUAAACUCAUCAAAACUCAAUAUCAUGCACUGUAAAAUUCCGAAAUAAAAUUCAUGGCUGCAAUAAUUUUCAACAUAAUAACUUGCAUACUGAACUUGAACUUUCUGAUAAUAACUUCAACUAUUGCAGCAAAAUUCAACAUAAAUUUCGGAAUAUAAACAGUUUAUACUCAUCCCCUUGAAAACUUUUAAAAUAACUUUUACCUUGAAGUCGGAGCGCGUAGUGGUCGAAUGGCUUCGUCACAAAUGACUUGAAAAUAUUUUAAGAAAAACAUUUUAUUUUGCAGAGUCUACAGGAAAGUAGACCUGCUCUGAUACCAUGCUGUAACACCCUAAUCUAAUUAAAGUGUUAAAUAUGAAUUUAAAUAAUUUUUGACAGCGAAAAUAUCAUAAAAUAAAGAUUUGGAUUUAUUUUCAAAUAAAUAAAUUUUUAAAUAAAAUAUUUGAAAUAACUUAAAAAGAAGGCCAGCCAUGAUAGGAAGCUAAUAUGAUAACACUAAACUCGAUAAGUUACACCAAAAUCUCAAGAGUAGUUUGAGACUUCGAAAACUGUACAAAGCAAAAGGUUAGGUGUAACUACAACAUUAUAUUUUCCAAAAAUAUUUACUUGACGCGCUCAUUCGAUCCUCUACGCGUCUCCAACCUUAGUUACCUGAAAAUGUUAAAUAUGGGAUGAGCAUAUGAAAUAUACUCAGUGUGGGAACAUGCAAUAAUUGUCCACGUUAAUAAAAUGGUCAACACAUAAGCACUGCACUGUAAUACUGAUAACUGAAAUUCGCACGGUGGCAUACCAAGGACUUUAAAGUCCUGGACCCAUUGAGUGGGCCCCUGGCGAAUAGGUUGCAACCCUAACUGUAACAUGAAAUCGCAUUGUGGCAUACCAAGGACGGUGAAGUCCUGGACCCAUUGAGCGGGCCCCUAGCGAUAUAACUGAAUUUACAACACAUAUGGCAAACACAUAAUAUUAAAAUGGACAAAAAUUACCACGGCAUGUACUGAAUAAAUCCCACACCUGUAACUUGAACUUGAAAAUUACUGCUAGAAAUGUAAAGUUCACGUUCCUAGUCGCGCCGCACCUAGUCAGAUAAAUUCAAAUAGUAACAUAAGGGCCUAAUUGAACUUUACAAAAUACCUUAAUAUAACUAAACUUGAGAAAACUAAUUUAUAAAAGUCUUUUCAAUAAAAUUUGAACUGAAAAAAAAUGAUUAAUUAAAUAAAUUAUAAUUGCUACUUAGAAGAGUAAUUAAAAUAAAAACCCAAUUGAUUAUUAUAAUUAAGGCCCAACCACUUAAUAAACUGAGCCCAAUUAAUUAAAACUAACCUAAGCCCAAGCCCCAAGCCCACUAUCAACCUCUAAUUUAAACUCACACCCAACUCCACUCCACACAUUCACACGCAGCUCACUCCCUCUCUCCCUUCCUCCCUCGGCCUUCUUCCUCUCGGCCUCUUGCCGCCGCACCUCCGGACGGCAGCGCCGUCAGCGCAGACCGGCGGCUCCGCCGCCUCUCCCUCUUCUUCCUAUCUCCCUCUUCCCUCACUCUCACUCCCUCUGUCCCUCUCCUCACCGCGUCUCCCCCUUCUCCGGCGACCCUCGCCGUCUGCCAGCACCUCCUCCUGGCCGUCAGCAGCGGCACCCUUGUCGCCGCCGUGUCGACAGCACAAGCCGGUCAGGCCGCCUUCUCCCUCUUCCUGAAAAGAGACGCACAGCCGAGACCAUAGCGCCGCCGCCCUGCUCCUUCCGCCACCACCCCCUGCUUCCUUCCGCCGGCCGCCAUGGCGCGCAGCGCCGGCGGUACUGCUGCUCAACCACCCCUCCCCCUGUUCUAAGCCACAACCCCCUUUCCAGUUCAUUCUUUCUAUUUUCCUUUUCUUCUUGUAAAGCAGUGAAUAUGCAUGUUUGAAUUAGAAAAAAAAUAAGAACUUUUGUGGGUGUUUGGUUUUGUGCAGAGAUGAACAACAGUAAAUGAAAUAACUUUGUAAAAUCAAUUAAAAUUUACCAGCUUGGAUUCUGUAAUGAGAGAUGGAAAUGGGUUUGUAUGCUGUAGGCGAAACAGACGAGGAAAAGGCGAAUUGGGGGACGAUGAUUUGAGGUUAAAUAGAGCUGCAAGAUUAAGUUUUUACCACAAAAAUGAAACGUGAGCUGCUUGUUCACGUAAGAAAAUUUGUGGAUGAUAAAGGAACCAAAAUUGUGGUUGAGAAAACUGGACGUGCUCCCCAAGCUGAAAAUGGAAAUGAGUGGGCUCUUAAUGUUGAAAGUAAAUUUUGAGAUAAGGCCCAAUAGAGAAAUUUGUAAUAUUCAAUUAUGGCCCAACUUUGAGCAUAAAAAUUUCAUUUGUUAAGUUAAUAAUCUGCAAUCUAAAAUUAUUUAUCUAACUAGGGGCGCGACUAUAUAAUUCACGAACUUGCUAUAUAAAUAUUCUUUUCAUGAUUUAAAAAUUAGUUAAAAUAUAAAUAAUGAAAUCAAACAAAUAUCCAGAUAAUCAAAUAAUUAAAUGGGUUUCGGGCUGUCACACAACUCCUACUUAAUCCUACUUCUACAUGCUAUUUUGUGGGAAUAACCCAUACUAAUAAUCCGGCCUCCCCCCUCGGAUAACUUUAAUACUGCGAAGUUGGAUAAAAAUUUUGCUACCCUUCCUCACGCAUAUCGAUGCAAAUGCUCAAGUAAUGGUGGACACACAUGAUAUUUUUAAAAUUAUAUGAGGAUAGUUUUGGUAUUAGAUAAUAUAAUCCAACAUAAUCCUAUGGAUAUCAAACACAAUAUAAGAUUAAGUAGCCAUGAUAUCAAACACCCAUGAAAUAAUAUAAAUCCACACUAAUCCACACUAAUUUCUCAAGAUAAUUUUAAUCCUAAUCAAUCCUAAACUGCAAAUCAAACGGCCCCUAACUUUCUUAGCAACCUUUACCUUAAAAAUUGUUUACAAUUUGAUUUUAGUGUCAAUGCACAAAUAAUAGGCAUUUACUUGUAAUAUUGUUUUAUUACAAUUUUAAUGUGUCACGUUCGAAGUAGAAGUAAAGAGUGAUCAUCGGUGCAUAAGGCACGGACAAAAAGUGGCUAUUGUUAAUGUUUUGAAGCAGAGGGGUGCAUGAACGAACCGACAUAUACCAGAAAGAGAGGGAUUCGAAGAAUAUACAGGUAUGAGACUGCAUAUUUGUGAAGAACUUAAAUAAUUUGAUAGAUGUUACUUAUAUCAACAAGAUGCAUCUUUUUUUCUAAUGACCACGUGAAAGAAACUCCAUGGUUAAGCAUCACUACUACAAAAACGCUCAUACAUAACGGAUAAAAUCCGUUAUCUAUGAGACCAAAAAACCGAUAAGUAUAGUGGUGAUAUCUAUGAUACUGUCAUACAUAACGGUAAAAAAACCGUUAUGUAUAGUCGUAUAGAUAACGGUAUCUGCGCUCAUACAUAACGGUUAAUAUCCGUUAUCUUUACAAGUGAUACAUAACGGUUCUUACCGUUAUGUAUUAUUGUUUUUACCGUUAUGUAUUAGAUAUAUAUAUUAUUUUUUUUCCUAUCAUAGUUAACUAGUUUUUUGUCACUUUUUAUUAACGGUUUUAACCGUUAUCUUUGAUAGAAAUACAUAACGAUUUUUUGCAUUUUUUAUAACAGUUUUUUACACUUUUUAUAACUGUAAUAUAUAUAUUUUUAUUUUCCUAUUAUUUAUCUAAAAAUUAAAUUAAUAAUUUUAAAACAACAAAUGACAUUGCCAUCGAUAACAUAUAUUAUAUAACAUCCGAAAUAUUCAUACAUUAUCAUCCAAAUAUAAUGAAAACAACACAAAUAUUCUAGUUAGCUAUAUGAUUAAUUAAAAAAUAUUACAAAUGCGCGCAACUUGCUAGACAUUUGAAACGACGUUCUCUGCUUCAGCCUUUCUCUUUUUGUAGUAGUCCUCAUAGCUCAUCGACUCCCAUCUACUUGAUCCGCCAAGAUGAUAAACUCAAUUACACUAAUGAGCUGGAGAAUUAAAAAAAUCCGACAACAUGUGAGUUAUAUCAAAUAUUGAUGCAUAGUAAUAUAACAGAAUGCAGAAUCUAAAUCAAAUUUGAUAGAUAUAUAAAUAUGAUGAAUGAUUUUCUCAAAAGCAAGACAUUGAUUUGGAUUCAAUAUUUUGGUAAAAGGUUUUACAGAAAACACAUAAGUAAAUCUUCAAGAUCUCAAAUAUUCUAUCUAUAUUGUAAAAUGAAAAGAAGAUUACCCUCACCAACACGAGCGAGUUCACCUGCAAAACAUAGCCAACCCGAGCUUACUUAAAUAAAAGAAUAUGAAAGAUAUUAACAACCUAAAUCUUUCUAUAACUACAUAGGUAGUGAUUCUGUAUUCUACAGCAAUACUCUUCAUUUUCAUAAAGCAGAUCCAUAACAUCUAUACAAGCUUCAAACUUCACAUGCUCCCCAACUUGGGCAACUGCCCUAAGUUAACCUAAAAAAUAAAAUUCCCCAAUUAGAAUUUACACAUUAGUUUAGAAAGCAGUUUCAAACUGAAGGGGCAGAAAGAACUCCUUGUUGGUCACGAAGCUUACUUGAAUUGAACAAGAAGCUCUUCAACUGAAGCAAAAGCAAUUUCGACAUGCCAAUCCCAAAUUGCAGAACCUUAAGAACUCGAUUACUUUACCAAACAGGAAAGUGAUCCAGAGAACAAAAACAAGUCAAAUAGUAUUAGAAAGAAAUAGCACAUCAAACAAUACCUGCAUUAGCACUAUCUCCUGCAGAUUUCUUGUUAGCCAUCAUGCUNUAGGUGCCUUCCAAUUACUUACAGCUUCAACCUUAGCUGGGUCCACCUCAAUUCCAUUUCCAGUCACCACGUGACCAAGAAAAACUACUCGGUCUAGCCAAAAUUCGCAUUUCUUAAAUUUGGCAUAAAGUUUUUCACUCCUCAAUGUUUCCAAGACGAUCUUAAGGUGCUCUUCAUGUUGUGCAUUAUCUCUUGAGUAUAUCAAGAUGUCGUCGAUGAAAACUAUGACGAACUUGUCCAAAUAUGAGUGAAAAACACGAUUCAUCAUGUCCAUAAAUACCGCUGGAGCAUUGGUUAGACCGAAUGGCAUAACUACAAACUCAUAAUGACCGUAUCUUGUCCGAAAAGCUGUUUUCGGUACAUCGCUACCCUUUAUCUUGAGUUGGUGGUAGCCCGACCUCAGAUCAAUUUUUGAAAACACCUUUGCACCCUUCAAUUGGUCGAACAAAUCUUCUAUCCUUGGUAGAGGAUACUUGUUCUUGAUGGUAAGUCGAUUAAGCUCACGGUAGUCGAUACACAUACGCAUUGUUCCAUCUUUCUUCUUGACAAACAAAACAGGCGCUCCCCAGGGUGAUACACUUGGCCGUAUGAAUCCUAUGUCCAAAAGCUCUUGUAGUUGUGUUUUCAAUUCCUCCAAUUCCUUUGGUGCCAUCCUAUAUGGUGCUUUUGAAACGGGUGCUGCUCCAGGCACUAAGUCGAUCGCGAACUCCACUUGCCUGUCUGGUGGUAUUCCAGGUAAAUUCUCGGGAAAAACAUCGGAGUAAUCUCGUACUACUGGCACACUUUCGAGAGUAAGUUCUCCAUCUUCUUUGCCUACAAUGCUUACGAGAUAAGCCUCGCCAAAGCCUUUGUUCAAAAUCUUUAUUGCUUUCAUCGCAGAUAUCACCAUAGGCAUUUUUCCUAACUUUGAUCCUUGAAAUGAAAAUUCUUUCUUUCCUGGUACGUUGAAAGCAACUUCCCUCUCGUGACACUUAAUUGUUGCAAAGUUUCGACUUAGCCAGUCCAUUCCUAAAAUCACAUCGAAGUCAUGGAUUUCUAUGAGGUAUAAAUCAGCUUCAAGCUUUCUAUUUCUAAAGUUCAAGGGAAUUCUCCGAGCAAUCCUAUUCGUCUUAAUGCAUUCUCCAGAAGGGACACUUAUGUUCAAGGCUAAGUUUUCUACUUCACAAGGGAUAUGAUUCUUUUGACAAAACUUAGCAGAAAUGAACGAGUGCGAAGCUCCAGAAUCAAAUAGAACAACUGCUGGUGUUCCAGAUAUGAGUAACGUACCAGUCAUUGUGUCAUCGUCCUCUGCUUCUUCCUGAUCAGCUAAAGCGAAGAAUCGAGCAUUUCCUUUCUUUUCUGGCUCUUUGCCUCCUCUUUUGUCUGGCCCAACAUUUUUCUUCCCUUCUAGCGCAUUGUUCAUCUUUUUAGGACAAUUAUGUGUAGUGUGCCCCGGUUCGUGGCAAAAGAAACAAACUCCUUUACCCCACAUGCACUCUCCAUAGUGAUAUUUUCCACAUUUCUGGCAUUGUGGUCUUGUCCCCGUUGUUCCUGGAUUAACGCCUCCACCAAACUUCGGCCUCUUAUCUUGGAAGUUUCCUCCGCCUUGAUUAUAGUUCUCCCACUUCCUUUUCAUAGGUUGAUUCGCUGGCUUUUGUGCAGGGAUGUUUGACCCAAGAGCAGUUGCCACCUCUUCGGCUCGCUUAACCAAAUCGCUAAAAUCUUCAAUUACAUGUGCAGCCAUAAUUCCCUUGAUGUCAGUUCUCAGUCCCUUUCUGAACCUAGCUAUCAUUUUGUCUUCUGUGUCAACUAGGUGUGGUGCAAAACGAGCCAACUCAUUAAAUUUCCUCUCGUACUCCUCUAUAGUCAUAUUUCCUUGUUUCAACUCAAAGAACUCGGUUUCCUUCUUUUCUCUGAAUGACAGGGGAAAGUAUUUAUCCAUUACUACUCCCUUGAAGAUUUUCCAAUUGAGAACAUUGCGAUCCUCUUCUCCCAACAGACGAUAGAAAUGUUUCCACCAUUGUCGAGCGUCCUCUUUGAGUUGAAAAACAGCACAUGAAACUUUCUGUUCCUCGGUACAGUUGAUGUGAGUGAAAAUCCGUUCAAGCUCUUCCAACCACUCUUCAGCUGCUAGCGGUCCAUCACGUCCAUUGAAUCGUGGCGGAUUAUAAUUCCGAAAUCGCUCUACCGCUUGAUCCAUUGUGUUAGAGGUCUGGUUUAGGUCUCGUUGCGUAGCCUGAGUUUGGGUUUGCUGUUGGACAAAACCUUGUAAGGCGCUCAGAAAUUGACUCAUGAAGUCUCCUCCAUUAGUUGGAUGAGGUUGUCCAGCUUCUGCUUCGGAAUUUGUAUUUGAGUUCUCGGCGUGGUGGGAAUGUGCACGCGUAUUCCUCAUGGUUCUAUAUUCAGAGGCACUAUCACAUAAAUAAGGGAUUAUAAAACAAGACUUUUCUAGGAAAAUGCUAGGUUAUUCCUAAUUCGAGGACUAAGUUCAACAUGAAAAAUUUAGAACUCAUCAAAUCUCAAUGUCAUGAACUGUAAAAUUCCGAAAUAAAAUUAAUAGCUGCAAUAAUCUUCAACAUAGUAUCUGCAUACUGAACAUGAAUUUUCUGAUAAUAACUUCAAUUAUUGCAGCAAAUCUCAACAUAAUUUUCGGAAUAUAAACAGUUUAUACUCAUCCCCUUGAAAACUUUUAAAAUAACUUUACCUUGAAGUCGGAGAGCGUAGUGGUCGAAUGGCUUCGUCACACAUGACUUGAAAACAUUUUAAGACAAAAUUUUAUUUUGCAGAGUCUACAGGAAAGUAGACCUGCUCUGAUACCAUACUGUAACACCCUAAUCUAAUUAAAGUGUUAAAAUGAAUUUAAAUGACUUUUGACAGCGAAAAACAUAAGGAUUUAAAUUAUAAAGAAAUUCAAAGAAAUAAAUUCCUAAAUAAAAUAUUUGAAAUAACUUGAAAAGAAGGCCAACCAUGAUAGAAAGCUAACAUAAUAACAUUAUACUUUAUAAGUCAUACCAAAAUCUCAAGAGUAGUUUGAGACUUCAAAAAAACUAUACAAGCAAAAGGUUAAGUAUAACUACAACAUUAUAUUUUUCAAAAAUAUUUACUUGACGCGCCCAUUCGAUCCUCUACGCGUCUCCAACCUUAGUUACCUGAAAAUGUAAAAUAUGGGAUGAGCAUAUGAAAUAUACUCAGUGUGGGAAACAUGCAAUAAUUGUCCACGUUAAUAAAAUGGUCAACACAUACGCACUGCACUGUACUGAUAACUGAAAUUCGCACGGUGGCAUACCAAGGACUUUAAUGUCCUGGACCCAUUGAGCGGGCCCCUGGCGAAUAGGUUGCAACCCUAACUGUAACAUGAAAUCGCAUUGUGGCAUACCAAGGACGGUGAAGUCCUGGACCCAUUGAGCGGGCCCCUAGCGAUAUAACUGAAUUUACAACACAUAUGGCAAACACAUAAUAUUAAAAUGGACAACAAUUAACCACAACAUGUACUGAAAUAAAUCCCACACCUGAAUUUGAACUUCAACUUGAAAGCUAAUUCUGAUAAUUCAAAUUAAAAUCCAUAUCCUAGUCGCGCCGCACCUAGUCAGAUAAAUUUAAAUAAUAAAAUAUAAGGGUCUGAUUGAACUUUAAUAAUAAUAAUAAAAAUAAUAAUAAUAAUAAUAAUAAUAAUAAUAAUAAUAAUAAUAAUAAUAAUAAUAAUAAUAAUAAUAAUAAUAAUUCUUUAGGAAAUUAUUAUAAAAUCCUUUGUAAAAAAAAUAUAUAUGCAAAUGCAGCCAUAAUAAAUAGAAUUAAGCCUUGGAGCCCAAAAUUAUAAACAACCUAAGGCCCAAGCCCACUCUAACUCUCCCAAAUUAAAACCCCAAUUUGAUUUUCAUACUCAAAACACACCCAUAUCCCUUCCUACGCAGCCACCUCCUCUCCCUCUAUCGGCUCCCUGCCGCCGCCACCGGACGGCAGCGCCGUCCCCGGAGGCCGGCGGCUCCGCCUCCUCUCUCCUUCUCUUCGACCUCUCCUUGUCUUCCCUAAACUCUCGCCUCACUCUGAUCCUCUCUUCAACCUCUCUCCCUCUUCCUCAAUCUCUUGCCUCCUCCCUUGCCCCUGUCCUCGCCGCACCGGCCGCAGCCGUGGCCGCGCCAUUCUCCGCCAGCCGCCGUCUGUUCCUACCCGACACCGCCCUCACCUUCUCCCCCUUCAGCCGACAACGUGGCCACCCUCGCCGCCCCGAGACAAAGAGCAGCGGUUGGUCAGGCCGCCUCCCUCCGUCCCAGAUUCGGCGCUGCUGCUGUACUUCUUCCUGUCUCCGGCUGCCGUGGCGCACCGUGCGUGGCGGCGCUGCUGCUGCUCACCCGCCCUGGCGCGCAGCGCCGACUGCACCGUUCCAGUCUUCCCCCCCCACUUCCUCUAUCUAUAUCCUUUUCCAUGUAAUUAAAAAAAGUAUUCUAUUUGAUUAUAAUAAUUAUACAGAAAUAGAAAUUAUUGCAUAUGAAUAUGAAACUAAAUAAAUUUACAAAAUUACCGAUGGAAGUUUUGCAGUGGAAAGAAAUAUAAAUCUGGUUUUUUUGUUGGAUUUGCUGGGUGAUUGCGAUGAAGAAGAUGAGAUAUACAUAUAUAUACUGGGUUGAAUUAUCGUGCAGCACAAGCUAAAAUAUGUGGUUGAGGAGUAAAAAUCGAAUUUGUGGCUGGAAGGGUGAAACCGUGGAAACAUAUUGCUGCUAAUUCAACAUUCUUUCAAAAAGAUCAUGGGUACUCUUAAACUUUAGCCCAUUAAGAAAAGGUAACAAAUUAAGGCCCAAUUUAUGAAGUUUAUGCAAAUAUUCAUUCAGCCCAAUUUUAACAUAAAAUUUGUAUUGCUAAGUAAAAAUCUGUAAUCUAAAAUUAAUUAUCUAACUAGGGGCGCGACUAUACCAUUUACGAACUUGCUACAUAAAUAUAUUCUUUUCAUGAUAUAAAAUAGUUAAAAUUUAAAUAAUGCAAUCAAACAAAAUAAUUAAAUAAUUAAAUGGGUUUCGGGCUGUCACAAAUGCAGUCAAACUUGAUGAUGUUGAACUUUGGCAUCAACGACUGGGACAUGUCAACUUCAAGAAUCUUCAAAAGUUGAUCACACAUGAUGUAGUUCGAGGCCUUCCUAAUCUGAACUUCAAGAAAGAUGUUGUGUGUCAACCUUGCCAGAAGGGGAAGCAACACAAGACAGCUCAUCCAAUGUUGUCAACAUGUUGUACCUCAAAAUGUUUCGAACUCCUGCAUAUGGAUUUGAUGGGACCCAUUGAAGUUGAAAGCUUAGGAGGUAAAUGGUAUGUACUUGUGUGUGCUGAUGAUUUUUCAAGAUACACUUGGGUUGAAUUCUUGAAAACAAAAUCUGAAACCUUUGCUCAUUUCAAGAAACUGUAUAAAAGGUUUAGAGUUCAAUAUGGCCAGUAUGUUGGAAGAAUUAGGACUGACCAUGGCAAAGAAUUUGAGAACUCUCUCUUUGAUGACUUCUGCACUAACAAUGGUAUUUUCCAUGAGUUCUCUGCACCCAAAACUCCUCAGCAAAAUGGUGUUGCCGAAAGAAAGAAUAGAACCAUUCAGGAAAUGGUGAGAGCUAUGUUGCAAGCAAAAAGUCUCUCCAAACGACUAUGGGCUGAGGCUGUGAGUACAGCAUGUCACAUCAUCAAUAGGGUGUACGUGAGACCAGGUACUAUGUUAACUCCGUAUGAGAUCCUUAAAGGCAAGAAGCCCAAUCUCAAGUACUUUCAUGUUUUUGGAUGUGUCUGUUACAUCUUGAAUGACCGUGAUCACCUCAACAAGUUUGAUUCCAAAAGUGACAAAGGUCUCUUCCUUGGAUAUUCUGUGAAUAGUCAUGCUUUUCGUGUAUAUAACCUGAGAACAAAGACUAUUCAAGAGACUGUUAAUGUUGUGUUUGAUGAUUCUCUUAGUCUCACUGAUAGAACAGAGGAUGAAGAUGUUACUGAGUUACUUGAGGAGCCCAACAACAUAAGCCAUGCUUCUGACCNAAAUAGAAUUUUAUAUUAAGAGUAUUACUAAAUACACUAUUAGUAGUAAAUAAAUACUAUAAAUUAUAAAAGUAAAAUUUGUGAAAAUUAUGUGUGGAGUAACGUACAAAAAUAGGGUGGACAUAAAUCUAAGGAACGUACCAAAAAUGAAAGGCAUGCGUAAAUAUGGGAAACAUAGAAUGUACAUGAAAUCACUGAAUAUUGGUGUAACCAAGUAACUUGUAAUACUUCUUCCAUCCACAAAAAUAGGUCAUAGUUUAUCAUUUUCGUCUAUCUACAAAUUAUAUAUCUAUAACCUUUUUUUGUUCUAUUCUAUUGAGCCACCUACUUAUUAAUUUGUGGGGUCCUAUCUCUCAUUAACUCUCUUACUUUUUUUAGUUUGUGGUACUAUUUCUCUACUUAUUAAAUAAACAAAUAAUUUUUUAAAACUCGUAUUGCCUUAUCUUAGGAUCUAUUUCGUGGACGAAUCUCACCGGAGUAAUAGUUUAUUAUUCCAAAAAGCAAAUUAUACUCCAGUCAGUUGAAUUCUCCUCAGAUUUUCAACCUAUAAACAAACACUUGUAGAUGGCUCACAUGGAUAAGUCUUACCACCGCGCGCGUAAAUUUAUUUUAAAGAGCUUAUAAAUUAUCAAAAUAUUUGAAUAAUUGAAUUUAUAGAUUAGAGGGAGAAUUUUGAUUUAGAGAUAAAAUAUUCUUGUUAAAUAGAGAAAAUAUAAGAGAAAUGGAAAAAUUGUAUGCAAUAGAAAUAACUUAUUAUAAUUGAAUAAUUAUUGCAAAUAACUUAUGUAUUGGAGAGUUUAUAAGUCGUUGGAGUUUAUUUUUAAUGGUUAUAAGCUAUUUACACUACAAAAAAUAAGCUAAUAGACAAGUGUUUAAAAUUGUAGUAGUAGGGGUCAAUAAUUCUUUAAUAAAUUAAUAUCCAACUAAUUUCAUAAAUAAUAAACACAAAUCAAAGUACACAAGUGUAACAUAAGUCUAAUAUUCAAUUGUCACUACGAUUACAAUAAUCUAGAAUAUUUUACAUUGUAUUUCAAAUCUAGCUAAAUCUAACAAUCAAAUUAUGCAACUAGCACAAAAAUAUAAUCAAUGUUCUUUCAACCGCCAACUUUUGCACCAAUUGUAUAUAACAUUUUUCCACUUUGCAUCCAGACUAGCAACGUCGUGCCUACAUAAUUUGAAGAAGACCAAAACAAUCAAAAAAAAUCUAAAUAUGAAAAGAAGAGUGGAAGAAGCAAUAGAAGCUCUAAAUAUGGUUACCUGCUCUCCAUAAUUCUGAGGGAGAGCAACCAAGUGAAGAAGGCUGGCUUCCUUUCACAGGAUCACAAAGUUUGCAUGAGCUAAUACAGCCUGAUCUUCAUCAAUCUGUAAAAGAUGUGCUCUGUUCAAAACAAUUUGAAUUGCUUGAAUUAAAAAUUUAAAUUAUGAAUCCUAACCAUAUUAGCUGGAUUAAGAAAUAACAGAACAUGCUCAAAACUUGAUAGUUUUUCAUUUCUACACACAUUGAAAUGGUGAGGCAGUAUUUUCCCAGUAGAUUUUGGCAGCAUCAAUGAUGGAUAUUGUUAGGAAUUGGCAUUUAGCAGACACUGGAAAUGGAUGACAAUUUUUCUUAAGCUUCUAAACAGCUUAUAAAUUAGUUAAUAACUAUUUCAAAGAGCUACUAAAUACUACUCCCUCCGUCUCACAAAAACGUGAGCAGUUUGCCAUUUUGGGGCGUCACAUAAAAACAUGAACAUUUCUAUUUUGGUACUCUAACUCACCACAAUUCCUUUAUUUUUCAUCUCUACUUUUUAUAAAAUGGAACUCCUUUUUCACUCAGAAUAUACUUUUAUUUAGCAUUUCUUAAAAUUCGUGACACUUACAAAUGUUCACGUUUUUAUGAGACAGAGGGAGUAGUUUACAAACUAGUACUAUUUUUAAAAAGCGUUUAAGCUCGUUCAAAAUAUCCUCUAAAUCAAGCCCUUCUCACAAUUUUAGUUAUUUAUAUUUAAUAUUUUACUCCCUCUCCUCCUGUCCACAAAAAAUUAAUAAUUUUUUGUCAUCUUGAGAGCACUCACAACGCCUACACGAUAGCCCCUACACGAUAGCGCUAUCGUGUAAGUGUGCUAUCGUGUAACCGUUGCGGGAGCACUUUACACGAGGGCUACACGUUCUAUCGUGUAGCCCAUUUUCUCUAUAGUGUAAGGCGCGUGUGAUGCACGCGCCUAUUAAAAAAAAAUCAAAUUUGAUCGUUGGCUGCCUCGUUUUGCGUGAUUUUGACAUUUCAAAUUUUUUUUUUCCUUUUUCUUCUAUUUAUUCUUCUUCUUCCUCAUUUUUUCCCUACACCCUCACUUCUUCUUCUUCAUCUUCUUCAUCUUCUUCCUUUCUUCCUCUCUCUACACCCCAUGGAUCCACACAACCCAAAUUACUAUGACCUAAAUUGGUGCCCCGAUCUAUCCGACGAUUAUCAUCCCGAUUUAUCGGGGUGUAACUUGGGGGAUGCUCCUCAGUCCGGCGAAGAGAUGCCUUCGGCAGCCCAUAGUGCCGCCAAACCGAAGAAAGGCAGCCGGAGGAAAGAAGUCGCCCACAAGAUCCGCCAAACCGAAUAAAUGCUCAAGCAUCGUGGUCUUAUCUACACUAGGAGUUUAAUUUAUGUAAUUUAUAUUAUGUUUUUAAUUUUUUUUAAUGUAAUUUUUAGGUUUUUUAUUUUAAUGAAAUUUUAAUUAUUAGUCAAAUGUGUUAUUUAAAUUUGAGCAAUUAAAUUUAAGUAAAAAAGCAUAAAAAUCAAAACUAAUUCUAUCAUGUAAGCUAUCAUGUAAUCCCACUGCAACAUCUUUACACCAUGUGGUCCCCCCAUCAUAAAGUAGGCUAUCAUAUAAGCUAUCUUGUAACCCCAUUGCGGAUGCUCUGAGAUAUGCACAAAAAUUAGUCUAUUUUCAUUUUUAGAAACUAUUUAUCAUGUGUUGGACCCUAUUUUCUUCCCACAGUAUAAUUAAUUAUCAUUAUAAACACUGUUUUUUAAGUGAGACUAUUUUUCCGUUCAUAAUACAAUAAUCAUUUUUAUUAAGAUUCGAAACGUUUUUUACUAUAAUUAUUUUUUGUGGACGGAGGGAAUAAUUCAUUCAGGUCUUGCCAUCUAAACAGAACCUAUAACAACAAAAAAGCCAAAAAAAAAAAACAAAGAAAAACAAAGUACUAAUUGAUUAAAAUAUCCCCAAUAAGAAAAAGCAGUGGAUCUUGACAAUGAGCACGGACUCGGUUGCUAACUCAUCAAGCAUCCGAGUUAACCCAGGCAUCUCUAUCUAAUUAUUCCAAUCUUUUCUUAAAUCUAUCACAGUUUCUCUACAUCCAUUUGCAAAGAUGAGAAGAAGAAAAAUCGGGAAUUUGAAGCUGAAGAGCCCAGUGAAACUGGUGUGCACGAUCGUCACCGUUUCAUUCAUAAUCACACAGAUCUUCACUGCGGUUAAGCUCAGAGGCAUACCUCGAUCGGCAAUUGCUUCAACCAAAACAGAAUCCCCCGCCAAACGCGCGAGAAUCGGCGAGUUCGGGGAAACGGUGAUUAAGUUGUUACCUGAGGAUCUGGCGUUCACGCUCUUCCUGCCGUCGGAGGAGGCGAUUCGGCGCGAUCUGAGGCUGAACCGGAACGAUAGCGAUGCCUACGCGGUGCUGACGCGGGUGCUGGGGUUCUCGUCGGUGCCGAGGUGGAUUUGGACCGCCGAUUUGGAGCGCGGAGGGCGGAGAAGCUACGAUUCGAUAUCUGGAUUGAGUUUGUCCGUGGGGAAGGAUUCGAACGGAAAUGUGGUGGUGAAUGGGGUGGUUUCAGAGGUGGUGGAUUUGAGAAUCGGGAAAACUGUAGUGCAUGUGAUGGAUGGGGUUGUGAUGGAUGCGGAGUUUGAGCAAUCGGUGCGCCCUGAAUCUGAUGAUGAUGAUGAAUUCGAUUAGUUUUUCUGUUUGCUUCGAAGUUGUUGCAGGGUGUGACCAUUGCUCAUCAAUCCGGUGCUCUUGCCGAGGAAGACUGCCGGAGUCGCCGCCGGCCAAGGCCGCGAAAUCACCUAAGAAAGCUGCUGCUUAGUUUUAGGCAGAUUGAGUUCAGCAAAUUUGAUCAAUUGGUAUGUGAUUUUUGGCAGGAAAAAAAAAAAUGGAGGUUGUAAUUAUAUAGUGCUAUUAAUUUUGAUUCAUUUGCAAGGUUUAGUUUUUAUUGGGUUUAUAUAAUAAAUACUUCGUCUCUUAUGAAAAUUUAUUUUUUCUAUUUUCGUGCUUUCACAAAAAUUGUAGUUUUUUUUAUUGUUAUUUUUAUUCAUUUGUAAAAAUUAUUUUUUUUCUUUUUUUAGAAACUAUAUCUCAUAUUUUAAAUACUAAAACAAUUAUUAUUUAACACAUCAACUAUAAUGAUCACUUUCUCCGCAUAAUUUUGAUAAGUUCAUUUUUCACUAGAAUUUUUGUGGAUGGAGGGAGUUUAAAUUUAAUUUCGGUGUGAAGAAUAAGGAUGCAAUUAUUAAAUAAAAUAAUUUAACUAUUCAUAGCCCAAAAUUAAAUUGGACCUCACGGGUGGGUUUGGGCUGGGCCUAUUAUUUUUCACAAUACUCAAUUUUCUGAUUUUUAAAACGGAAUUUACAAUUAUAGUAAUGGAGUUUUACACCAAACUUAUCAAAUCCCAAAUUUUUAAAAUUACAAAAAUAGCAGAAUUUGCCAAAUAACAACAAAUAAAUAAAAAUGAAAGCCUUGGCUUUUGUUACUAUCCAAAAGAUGUACUACUUGUUAGGUUAUUUCUAGGGAACCAAAAGGUGAGCAAAACACCCGAAAUUCGAAUAUCCGAAUUGAACAAACUAAACUUUAAAAACAAAUAAAUCCAAAAUCUAAAUUAUAUUUAUAAUAUACAUUUAUUUUGAAUACUUGGAUUUCUUUGUGCAUUUUCUAAAUUUACAAUUCAAAUCAGAUUUAGUCAUAAUAAAGUUGCCGCAUUUUAGGAUCAAUUUGAAUUAGGCAAAAAUUCAAACCAAAAUCCAAAUACUCACACCUAUUAUUUCACUAUCUAAUUUAUAUCGCUGUAACUGCAUAUGGUGGCAUCUUAACAAAGUGAGAGUAUUGUCUUACCAUAACAAAAUGAAUUACUUAAGCUCUUAAAACUGACAUGUUCAGUCAUUCCUAGAGCAAAAAUAAAAAAUAAAAAACGCGACAUUCCUUUUGUUAAGGUGCAUCAAUGGUUCAACCAAAUGGUUUGCUAAAAGAGAACUAAUUACUAUCUUAGUACAUAUAAAGUAAGGGUGGUAAGAGAGAGAGAGAGAGACUAUACGAAUAUUGUUACGAAUCUAGACGACUCUGGAUUUUCAAAAUUCACGCAAUAUUGAGGCAGAAACCAAAUACGAAUAUUGAAGACUAGCUCG
RNAcentral lists this long non-coding RNA (50864 nucleotides) under Salvia miltiorrhiza (redroot sage). RNAcentral describes it as "long non-coding RNA (SMIL_LNC007739)". The record is from RNAcentral. Lineage: Eukaryota; Viridiplantae; Streptophyta; Magnoliopsida; Lamiales; Lamiaceae.